UACGAGUAAUGUCUUUGUGACAAGAACUUUCUUUGUCUUUUAUUCCCAUGUUUGAACUAGUAUAGGUCGGGGUUACACAUUAUGGUGCACAUCACUUUAUUUAUCAUCGUUACAUUGAACGCUCAUUGACUAAACAACGAUGAUCCAUCCAUCUUGUAUUGUAGGUCUUCAUUUCAUUGGCCACCGAUGCUUGUAAGACUAGUCUCAUAUGGUUGUUGUUGUGGAUAUGGUUGUUGAGGUUGGUGUGGUUGCUGGGGUUGCUGGGAAAUUGUUUGUUCUGGUUGCUGGGAUAAUUGUUGUUGGGGCUGUAGAAAUGGUUGUUGUGGUUGUUGGGGUAAUGGUUGUUGUGGUUGCAGGAUGGAUGGUUGUUGGGGUUGCUGGGGUUGGGGCUGGGGAAAUGAUUGUUGUGAUUGUUGGGGUUGCUGGGGAAAUGGUUGUUGCGGUCCUAGGAGGAAUGAUUAUUGUGGUUGUUGGGGGAAUGGUUGUUGNNNNNNNNNNNNNNNNNNNNNNNNNNNNNNNNNNNNNNNNNNNNNNNNNNNNNNNNNNNNNNNNNNNNNNNNNNNNNNNNNNNNNNNNNNNNNNNNNNNNNNNNNNNNNNNNNNNNNNNNNNNNNNNNNNNNNNNNNNNNNNNNNNNNNNNNNNNNNNNNNNNNNNNNNNNNNNNNNNNNNNNNNNNNNNNNNNNNNNNNNNNNNNNNNNNNNNNNNNNNNNNNNNNNNNNNNNNNNNNNNNNNNNNNNNNNNNNNNNNNNNNNNNNNNNNNNNNNNNNNNNNNNNNNNNNNNNNNNNNNNNNNNNNNNNNNNNNNNNNNNNNNNNNNNNNNNNNNNNNNNNNNNNNNNNNNNNNNNNNNNNNNNNNNNNNNNNNNNNNNNNNNNNNNNNNNNNNNNNNNNNNNNNNNNNNNNNNNNNNNNNNNNNNNNNNNNNNNNNNNNNNNNNNNNNNNUGCAGGGGGAAUGGUUGUUGGGGAAUUAUUUGUUCUGGUUGCUGGGGGAAUGGUAGUUGGGGCCGGGGAAAUGGUUGUUGGGGUUGCUGGGGGAAUGGCUGUUGUGGUUGCAGAGGGAAUGAUUGUUGGGUCUGGGGAAAUGGUUGUUGUGAUUGCUGGGAAAAUUGUUGUUGGGGUGUGGGAAAUGGUUGUUGCGAUGGAUAUGGUUGCUGUGAUGGAUAUGGUUGUUGUGGAUAUGGCUGUUGUAGAAAUGGUUGUUGUUGAUAGGAAAAUGAUUGUUGAGGUGAUUGUAAUUCUUUGUUGCUAGGGUUUAGCUGCCUAGCGGCAGUGGCGAUGUUCAUCGCCAUGGCAAGGAGGACAAAGAUGAGGAAGGUCUUCAUGUUGGAUUUGUGGUUACUACUGCUUGCUUGCUUUUGAUGCUUGUGGUCUAGGUGUGUGAAGUUUGGAUGAUGAAAUGUGGUCUUGGUGGUGCAUGUGUAUUUAUAGUUUUCAUGGCAUGGCUUGCUUUCUUCUUCCCACUCGCUUUUUGAAAAAGUGCACCAAUGCUUAUCCAACUAAUCAUUUGAUUUGUUGUGUUUGGUGCAACUACUUACUAGCAAGAUUUUGGAUUUUCAUGAUAGUUGCUUUUUGUUGAAAUCAUCUGGUUGUAAGGAAUGUUGGAUAAUGACCAAUGACUCAUCUUCUUCACUUUACACUGCAAACAUUGAUCUAAAUUAUAUCCUUUUUUGAAAUUUAGUUUGUGAAGCUCUACAUGUUGUUAGGCUUAUCUAUAUUGGCAUAGCUUGAGUGGAAUUAAGUUUGUAAGCUUGUGAGCGUCAUUAUGAUGGAUCACACUAUUAAUGUGAUGAUUGUACUACAAAUUAUCUUUCCAAAACUAAUUUUAUGUUUUUUCCCAAUAUGAUUCUAAGACGGAUAACCAGACAUGACUCAUCAAAUAACAAGAUAAACCGAGUAGCAAAUUGGGGUUAUAAGUUAUAACAUGGACUUUUCUCUAAGAUACACUAUCUUGUCUUGCAUGCUCUGUGAAUUUGAAAAGCAUCUACUAAUUUAUAUGCAAUUGAAACAAAAGUAGACCAGAAAGAUAAGCAAUGAAAUGAGAAUACUAUUAUGUGAAGCUCUACAUGUUUGGCAAGCAAUAAGAUACUGGAUACAUCUAUAUCUUCAAUCCUGACAAUUUUUCUCAUCCCUAUCAACUCUUUAUUGGCUGCCUUUACUGUAGUCAUCCCUUAAAUAAAAAUCACUUAAAGAUAAGUUUGGGAGCUAGUACCAGCAUCUAUCAUGUACAAGAUAAAAAACUAAGGCACAUAUAGUAGUCUAUUGACUAUAUUUAAUUUCAUGUGAUGUGAAAGCAUGUGGAGUAUAAGUUGGUUAAAUAUAAAAUUGUCCUUCAUACCAGUAGGGAAAGAAUAUGCAGUAUAAAGAUUAGAGCAUUAUUAAUAUGCUAUUAAAUGCUACAGGAUAAUCGAUAGUUCAAGUUAAGAACAACAAUAGCAUUCCAACUUUUGUUUUGUGCAAGUUAAGAACAUGCUAACAAAGUAACCUAAGCAAAUAAGUGCAACACCUUCACCUAUAAGGAAAUUUUGAAACUACACAAAAUGACCUAUUGUAAAGAAGGAAAAAAAUCUAAAGGUGAAUGAAAAGCAUGUUAAGUACAUUCAGGAUUCGGUUAUGCCUUCAUGGAUAACCUUUUAGAUGGUGACUUGUCAACCUUGAUGUGUGUCGGCAUGGAACGAGGACAAGAAGACAUCGUUACGUCGUACUUUGGGAAUUUCAUCAAACUGGUUGUGUGCGGGAACAAAUAUUUGUCGCCUCCCUGCUCAAAUCUCUCUUCAUGUCACUAAAUCCGACACUCCACCUACCAAAAUCAGCUGCAAGCCAGGGACAAUCAACAGGUUUCUCCGCCCGUAGCAUCUAUCACCAAAAGAAGUUCAGACUAUAGUCUUGUAGUUUAAAAUUUUGUAAUAACAAGCACUACUAGGUUGCUCUUGUUUGUACGUCUUCAUUAUGUACAACCCAUGGAACUUAAAAUGCAUGGGUCAUUCUUCGGUAUAUACAACCAAUGCAACCAAACAUGCAUUGGGCUUUUCUUUGUACAUCUUCAGGUUCUACAACCAAUGCAACAAAAAAUCCAUUGGGCAGUCUUCCAUUCUAGUCGGGCACCAAUAGUUAAACGAGGAGCUAAACAGUGUUGGAGUCUAAAACUACAUACAAUCAUGAAGCAGAGAGAUGCGACUUGGAAGUUGUGCUCCUGUGAGCUCGUAUUUUUGAAGAAAAAAGUAAUAUUUGUAUUUUGAAGUGGGAAAAAGUCCUAAAAAGGGAUGUUUUGCGGGUUAUAACUUACUAUUUUUGAGUCCUGGGCUGCAGGAAGGUCGUAAAAAAUCAAUGUGUUUUCCCAUUCAUGCAUGUUUCUUGGGUUAUAGGUCACGCUUUUGGUGUCCUAGGGAGAUCACUUCCCCAGUUGGGAACAUUAGGUGAUGAUUUUUAGCAAAACUCAUUGUUUUAGCCUAACUAGUUUCGAGGAUUGGUGGACAAGAUUAUCAUGGAACAAAGUGACAACCUUCCUUUUCUUCAUGCCUAAUAUAAACUUAGCAGUCAACUAAAAGUAACUAGCGAUAUCACAGAAUGUUUUUUUGUCAAAAGUAGAUACCACUUCAGGAUUCAACUCGGUUAGUUCAAUCAUAGACAUGUUAAGAGCAGGAUUUACAACUAACUGCAUAGGGAACAUCUCCUUUUAUCGCCCACUAUCUGUCUAUGCACUUUGGUUUUCCCGUAGCAGCACACAAAGCACUUUGUUAGUACCAAUAAUGUGCUCCAACUCUACACAUUAAUCAUCUUGAAUUCUUCUACUGAUGUCGAACAAUGUUAUAUCUUGAAUUCUUCUAACGAGUUCAGAUUAUACUACAUGGGCAAUUUAUCUGGUCCCUGAGAUGCAAGGUCGAUGAACAAUCGCUUCGUCUGAUGAUGAGGGAUUGUUUUUGCCUAAGAAACCAAUACAUGUAACUUCGACGCCAGAUUAAUAAUUGGUAAAACCCAAAUAAAUUAGAUCACGAGCUAAACCAUUUAAUUUUGUAUGCAUUUAAACUUUUGAUACAUAUGAGCUUGUUAAGAUGUUCGCAUAAACACCAUGGUGAUUUGAAGCAAGACAAAGUAAACUUGAACCGCUUGAGCCACUGACUUAAUAAGAACCUCCUUUCCCGUGGCAGAGAUCGUUUUUAAUACAUCCACUCACUUUGGUUCUCUUAUGAAAUCUAGAUUCCUUCGCUAAGGCUAUUGCUCCAGUAUUGUCACAAAAGAUUUUUGUUGGACCCGAUGCACUAGGUAUGACACCUAGAUCGGAUAUGAACUCCUUCAUCCCGACUCCUUCAUUUGCUACUUCCGAAGCAGCUAUGUACUCCUCUUCACAUGUAGAUCCCUCCACGACGCUUUGCUUGAAACUGCACCAACUGACAGCUCCACCAUUCAAUAUAAAUACGUAUCCGGUUUGUGACUUAGAGUCAUCCAGAUCAGUGUCAAAGCUUGCAUCAACGUAACCAUUUACAACGAGCUCUUUGUCACCUCCAUAAAUGAGAAACAUAUCCUUAGUCCUUUUCAGGUAUUUCAAGAUGUUCUUGACCGCUAUCCUAUGAUCCACUCCUGGAUUACUUUGGUACCUCCCUGCUAAACUGAUAGCAAGGCACACAUCUGGUCUGGUACAUAGCAUUGCAUACAUGAUAGAACCUAUUGCUGAAGCAUAGGGAAUGACUUUCAUUUUCUCUCUAUCUUCUGCAUUGGUCGGGCAUUGAGUCUAACUCAACUUCACACCUUGUAACACAGGCAAGAACCCUUUCUUUCCUUGAUCCAUUUUGAACUUCUUCAAAACUUUAUCAAGGUAUGUGCUUUGUGAAUGUCUAAUUAACCGUCUUGACCUAUCUUUAUAGAUCUUGAUGCCCAAUAUAUAAGCAGCUUCACCGAGGUCUUUCAUUGAAAAAUUCUUAUUCAAGUAUCCUUUUAUGCUAUCCAGAAAUUUCGUAUCAUUUUCGAUCAACAAUAUGUCAUCCACAUAUAAUAUCAGAAAUGCUACAAAGCUCCCACUCACUUUAUAAAGGCUUCUCCAAAAGUCUGUAUAAAACCAUAUGAUUUGAUCACACUAUCAAAAUGUAUAUUCCAACUCUGAGAGGCUUGCACCAAUCCAUAAAUGGAUCACUGGGCUUGCACACUUUGUUAACACCUUUUGGAUCGACAAAACCUUUUGGUUGCAUCAUAUACAACUCUUCUUUAAGAUAUCCAUUAAGAAAUGCAGUUUUGACAUCCAUUUGCCAAAUUUCAUAAUCAUAAAAUGCGGCAAUUGCUAACAUGAUUUGGACAGACUUAAGCAUCGCUACGGGUGAGAAGGUCUCAUCAUAAUCAACUCCUUGAACUUGUCGAAAACCUUUCGCAAAAAGUCGAGAUUUGUAGACAGUAACAUUACCAUCAUCGUCAGUCUUCUUCUUGAAGAUCCAUUUAUUCUCUAUGGCUUGCCGAUCAUCGGGAAAGUCAACCAAAGUCCACACUUUGUUCUCAUACAUGGAUCCCAUCUCAGAUUUCAUGGCCUCAAGCCAUUUCGAGGAAUCUGGGCUCAUCAUUGCUUCCUCAUAGUUUGUAGGUUCAUCAUGGUUGAGUAACAUGACCUCCAGAACAGGAUUACCAUACCACUCUUGUUGGGAAUAUGACUACCAGGUAUGACCCGCCCAGGAGGGGCCGGGUCAAUCCUAAUGGCGGGUUACUAAAAGAAGCUCAGUGAAUAUACAAGGCGAUAGUUUAUUAUAAGACUUGUAGUAGGACCAAGCCCAAAGGCGGGUUAAGGCCCAUAAUUGUAAACCGCCAUGUAUAAGAAAGAAUUGUAAAGAAAGGCAUGUAAGAGAAGUCACCGAGCCGGGCACGUUAUAUGAGCCGGCUGGGACUCUGUAGGCCGCCAGGCGUCAACCCGUGUAUAUAAGGGGACGACCCGGUGGCGGCUUAGGGCAAGUAACAUCAAAUCGAGAGCCAUGCAUAGCGUAUUUGCUCCCUGGUCAUCGAAACCUAGCAAUACCACAUCAACUGGACUAGGCUUUACCUUCACCGUAGGGGGCCGAACCAGUAUAAACCUUUCGUGUCCUUUGUCCCGAUUAACCCCUUUAAGCUUCCUAGUUGCGAUGGCUCCACGACUAAGUCCUUUCAGUAGGACAUCUGCCGUGACAAUUCCACGACAGUUGGCGCCCACCGUGGGGCCAUCGCACGAUGGAUUUGAGUUCUUGAAGGGCAGCUUCCAAGGGCUCAAGGGAUACGCUGUGGGCCGGAUAACCAAAAGUUGUCACAGCAAGCUCUACAUCGACGACGCAGGCUGGGGCCCCGAGGCUGGCUCAAUCGAGUACGGGUACCGGGUCCCCUUCGGCGGAAUCCACGUCUUCAUCGGCCGGAUCGGCGAGCCGGGCCCUGAGUCGGACAUCUGCACCGACCUCAUCGAGAUGGCUCAGCGAGUGAGACCUGCCCGGGCUCAACCUGCCGUGAGGCGUGCCUUCGUGGGUUGCAUCCAUGGAGGGGAAUUUUCUGAAGGAUCGAUGGACGGUGGUGAGACAGUCGUUUGCUCUAGCAGUGAGUCGUCCAUAGGCGAGACAGAUUCUUUGUAUCAGCUACAAGAUGGCGGGCUUGGGGGCUGUUCCGAUGGCAGUAGUAUUCCGGACCCCUCUGAGCCGCCGAAUCGAGCCGGAGUCUUCAUGGCUGGCACUCAACCUGGUUAGAAUUCUAUGGCUGCGGCAGCAAUAACCACUGGGUCAGCAGGGGCCGGGUCAGGAGACCCCGCGCGCCCACCGGCUCAGGUACUAAUGGACCUCAUGGAUAGGAUGACGGCCCUGUUGACUGCUGUGGUUGAGCCGGCAGAUAAGGCUCAGCAUGACGCAGAGGUAGCACAGCUACACAGAGAGGUAGCACAGGCCAAGGAAAAUUUAGUGGCGGAAGAUGUCAGGAUGGCCGCGGAACGGGCGGCUCUGGAUGCACGGGCUCGGCAGCUUCAAGCGAAGACUUUCUGGCUCUCGGUGGAUCUGAACGCAUCAAACGAGGUCACGAGGAGAAGGCACCAGAAGGCUCAAUCAUGUCUGCCUCUGACUUACGAUCCUAGGAACCUUUUUCACACACCCGGGACUGGUCCCAGUAACCCGCUGAAGGCAAACCGGAUCACAACACCCGGGACCGGGACGCCGGUUCAACCGCGGGCCAUGGAACCACCGCGUGUGAAUACUGCUCUGCCUCACUACACAGCGAUACCACCGGGUCACUUCUCUAACCCCUUGGAGAACCUUAUUGCUGCGUCGGCUCAUCUGGCGGCUCUCCCGAUGGAAGGUGACUCUUCGACGGCGAUCGAGACACGACGGGUCAGAGAACUUCUUCAGACGGCUCUGGCACAGCAGGAUGCAUAUUCUUAUAGUUGAGAUAGAAUCCAUUCAACCCCUCGCCCAAGCCGGAGCCCAAGCUAUAGCAGGCAUAUGGACUCGGCGGCCAUGUCAAGCAACACCCAGCGCCGUAACCAUCCACGUGGGCGUGACCCGGCCCCGGGCGGAGCUUGUAACUUGGUAGACCAGGAGAGGAUCCGUCAAGAGGCUGAACGGGUGGUUCAACAGGCGGCUGAGCAAGCGGCUCACCAAGCUUUUCCAAUUUAUACAGUGACCUCUGUUGAAGCAGGGGUGGCCACAAGGACAGGAGGAGUCCCUUGUCUUGUGCAGUCUCUGCGUAAUGAGCGUUUACCAAAGGACUUUAAGGGGCCUCGUAAGGUGCCCAAUUACACAGCCGACCUGCAGCCCGGAGCAUGGAUUGAAAGUUACGAGAUGGCCAUGGAGUUAUUAUAAGUCAGUGACGCAGCAAUGGCCAAAUACUUCACCAUGAUGUUGGAUGGAACAGCUCGUACUUGGUUAAAGGGGUUACCGCCCAACUCCAUCGGCUCAUGGGCGGAGUUGAAGGCACGGUUCAUUCAGAACUUUAAAGAUACCUGUAAACAGCCCAUGUCAAUCGUGGACUUGACUAACUGCAAGCAAGAGGAAGGCAAAUCCAUGACCCAUUGGGUGCGCCGGGUCAAGGAAAUAAUACAUUCAUCUGAUAAGAUGGAUGCCAGCUCCACGGUCUUAAUGUUGGAGAAAAAUUACCGUUUUGAACCUCUGAAACAGAAGCUGGGGCGGCUCAAGCAUGAUUGUAAUGACAUGGGCCAGUUGAUGGCGGCUCUGGUCAAAUAUGCUGACUCUGACAGUACCAAGGAUCCCAUGUCUGACGAAGAGAAGACGAGGAAGGGAAAGAAGAACGGCAACGGCAAGGGUCACCAGCAUAACCCGACAAAUCAAGGAGGUAAUAAACGCAAGGCUGACGAGUUUGUGGCUAACACCAAUGCACAUGGCAACAACCAAUGGCGCAAGGGGAGGCCACCUCCUCGGUCAGGCGGAUCAGGUCCCACCCUCGAGCAACUACUAAAUGAACCCUGUCCGGGACAUGGCACCCGGGAGAAGCCGGCUACCCAUCUGUGGAAGGAUUGUACGAUCAUGAAGGCUUUUAAGAAUUCUAACAUGUUUGAUGGUAACCACGGGCCUGCUGGCGGCUCAGGCGGUGGCGGUUUUCAUGGCCAAGGCCAUCCGGGUAGUCAAGGCGAUUAUAGUCAGCAAUCCGGCCAGGGCAGUCAGCAACAGCAGCAACAGCCCGUGUAUCAGAGUAACCCAAAACAGCUGAACAGUGGACAGUACCAUGUGUUUACCACCAGUUUGUGCAAGAGGGACCAGAAGCUUCAGAAGAGGGAUGUAAAUGCUAUUGAGCCGGCGGUUCCACGUUAUUUGAGAUGGUCUGAACAACCUAUUCUGUGGAGUAGGGAAGAUCACCCACCCCGGGUUGAUAAUCCGGGUCAUCUGGCUUUGGUGGUGGCGCCUCAGGUUGGUGGAUAUAAGUUCACUAAAGUGCUCAUGGACGGAGGCAGUAGCAUCAACGUCCUCUAUUAUGAGACGUUCUGUCGCAUGGGGUUGACUGAUAAGAGUCUUAAAACAUCCAACACUGUUUUUAUGGGGUAGUGCCUGGUAAGUCGGCGUACCCAGUUGGUAAAAUUGAGCUGGAAGUGGCCUUUGGAGAUGAGUAUGAUUCUAGGGCUGAGAAGCUAACUUUUGAAGUGGUUAAAAUCAAGAGCCCAUAUCACGCUCUGUUUGGACGGCCGGCUUAUGCUAAGUUCAUGGCCCGGCCGUGUUAUGUGUAUUUGCAGCUCAAAAUGUUGGGUUAUAAAGGCACUAUCAUAGUACAUGGAAGCCGGAAAAUAGCCCUGGAAUGUGAAGAAGGUGAUGCUGCAUAUGCCGAGUCUGUUUGUGCAACAGAGGAAUUGAAGUUUUAUAAGGAUAAUGUUGACCCGGCAAACAUGGCGUCUUUGAAGAAGCCAACUACGGAGCAUGAGCCGGCAUUGAAAUUCAAGUCCGCUGAUGACACCAAGAUGAUUGAUUUCGUGUCUGGCGACUCAUCCAGACACUUCAUUAUCAGUGCUAACUUGGAUCCAAAAUAGGAAAGCGUGCUCAUCGAGUUCAUCCAUGAGAACCGGGACAUCAUUGCAUGGAAGCCUUCUGACAUGCCGGGUGUUCCGAGAGAACUCGUUGAGCACACUCUCAAUAUUCAUCCAAAGUUUAAGAUGGUCGGGCAAUUUCUUCGGCGGUUUAACGAGGAAAGGUGCAAGGCCAUUGGAGAAGAGGUGGCCCGGCUCUUGGCGGCCGGGUUCAUUGUUGAAGUUUUUCACCCAGAGUGGUUGGCUAACUCGGUGCUUGUGCUUAAAAAGAACGGCACCUGGCGCAUGUGUGUGGAUUACACAAAUUUAAACAAGGCUCGUCCAGCUGAUCCUUUUGCUCUCCCUCGUAUUGAUCAAAUCAUUGAUGCUACGGAGGGUUGUGAGCGUUUGAGUUUUCUGGAUGCUUAUUCGGGUUAUCAUCAGAUCAAGAUGGCAGUUAAGGACCAGGAGAAAACAGCUUUCAUCACUCCGUUUGGAGCCUUCUGCUAUGUGUCUAUGCCUUUUGGGCUCAAGAGUGCCCACGCGACUUAUCAGCGGUGUGUACAAAAUUGCCUUCAUAAUCAGAUUGGGUGUAAUGUUCAUGCUUAUGUGGAUGAUAUAGUGGUGAAAUCCAGAGAGAAGGAAACCUUAGUAGCUGAUCUAAAGGAAACCUUUGGUAACCUCCGGGUCUACAAGAUGAUGCUUAACCCGGCCAAGUGUGUUUUUGGAGUCCCAGCUGGCAAGCUCUUGGGUUUUUUGGUGUCUAAUGGAGGCAUUGAGGCUAACUCGGAGAAAAUAAAGGCAACCACGUCUUUGGCUAAACCGGCAUGCAUCAAUGACGUUCAGCGGCUGGCGGGCCGUGUCGCAGCUUUAAGCCGGUUUAUAAGUCGGUUGGGCGAGAAGGCUAUGCCAUUGUAUCAAAUGAUGAAAAAGGUGGAUGACUUUGUAUGGAGUGACGCUGCUGAUUCCGCUUUUGAAGGUUUGAAAAGACAGCUUGCUGGGCCACCUAUUCUUGCUGCCCCCGUUGAGAAGGAGCCGCUAUUGUUAUAUGUGGCUGCUAACUCACAAGCCGUCGGCAUGGCCAUUAUUGUGGAGCGCAAGGAGGUUGGCAAGGAACAUCCAGUUCAAUGGCCGGUUUACUACGUCAGUGAGGUGCUCAUUGGAUCCAAGAAAAGAUACCCACAUUAGCAAAAACUUGUUUAUGGGGUGUUCAUGGCAAGCCGGAAGCUUAAGCAUUACUUCCAGGGUCAUCCUAUCACUGUGGUUAGCUCUGCUCCUUUAGGAGAUAUUAUUUAGAACAGAGAAGCCACAGGACGAGUCGCCAAGUGGGCCAUUGAGCUUGGGGUCUCAUAAUAUAAAGUAUGUGCCACGUACGGCUAUUAAGUCUCAAGCACUGGUGGACUUCAUUAAUGAUUGGACGGAGUUACAGACACCUGAAGAGAAGCCAGACAACACAUAUUGGACGAUUCAUUUCGAUGGGUCCAGGCAGUUGGAAGGCUCGGGGGCUGGAGUUGUGUUAACUUCUCCUCGAGGUGACAAGUUUUGUUAUGUGUUGCGAUUGAUGUUUCCUUGUACUAACAAUGCAGCAGAAUAUGGGGCCUUGCUCCAUGGUCUUCGAAUGGCUAAAGAGAUGAGUUUAAGACGGGUACGGUGCCUUGGCGACUCAGAUUUGGUGGCUCGGCAGGUGUCAGGCAAGUGGGAUUCCAAGGACCCUCUCAUGGCGGCUUAUCGCCGGGAAGUUGAUGAUGUUGUUGGACAUUUCAAAGGUUAUCAGGUGGAGCACAUUGACCGCAGAAAAAACAAAGCGGCUGAUGCUUUAAGCCGGUUGGGAUCACAGCGUAAGCUGGUGCCACCUAACACUUUUCUAGAUGUUCUUCAAAACCCUUCUGUCAAACUGCCUACAGAGGAAGAUUUGGUCAUUCCAGACCCGGAGGCACAGUUAGUAGCGGCUCUUCAUGUUAUUCCAGAUUGGACAUUACCGUAUUUGGCUUACAUGACCCGGGGUGAGUUGCCAGAGGAUGAGACCUUGGCUCGACAGAUAACCCGACGGUCUAAGUCAAUGACAAUUUCCAAUGGUGAGUUGUAUCAUCGCAGCGUCACUGGAGUGUUUCAACGUUGUGUCUCUCCCGAAGAAGGUCAAGAAAUUCUUCGUGAGAUCCAUGAAGGGGAUUGUGGUCAUCACGCUGGUUCAAAGUCUCUUGUGGCUAAAGCUUUUCGUCAUUGUUUUUACUGGCUAACGGCUCACGCUGAUGCAGAGGAUCUGGUCAGUAGGUGUGAUGGGUGUCAAAAAUUUGCACGACGAGCGCACGUGCCGGCUUAAGAAUUGCGGAUGAUUCCAAUCACUUGGCCGUUUGCAGUCUGGGGGCUUGACAUGGUUGGACCUUUUAAAAGAUCCAAGGAUAAAAAGACACAUCUUUUGGUGGUAGUUCACAAAUUUACAAAAUGGGUUGAGGCAGAGCCGGUUAGUAAGUGUGAUGCAGCCACGAUGGUUCAGUUCAUGAAAAAGGUGAUCUUUCGUUUUGGCUUUCCACAUAGCAUUAUAACUGACAAUGGUACUAAUCUGUCCAAAGGCAACAUGGAGGAGUUUUGUCAAUGUGAGCAUAUCCGGCUUGAUGUUUUGUCUGUAGCUCACCCCCAAUCCAAUGGUCAAGCUGAGAGAGCAAAUCAGGAAAUCCUAAAAGGUCUCAAGCCCGACUUAUGGUUCGUUUACAACGGACGCCGGGUUGUUGGGUGGAGGAAUUACCCUCGGUGCUGUGGAGUAUCAAUACCACUCCUAACAGAUCUACAGGUUAUACACCUUUCUUCAUGGUUUAUGGAGCAGAAGCAGUUCUGCCUAGUGACAUCCGUCAUGACUCACCUCGCGUGGCGGCCUAUGUUGAAGCUGAUAAUGAACAAGCCCGACAGGAUGCACUUGACUUGUUAGAUGAGGAGAGAGAUUUGGCAGUGGCUCAAUCAGCAAUUUAUCAACAAGACUUGCGCCGUUAUCACAGCCGCCGGGUUAAGUCCAGAACCUUUCAAGAAGGUGACCUAGUGCUCCGGCUCAUCCAGGAUCUGUCUGAUGCACACAAGCUAUCCCCGCCUUGGGAAGGACCCUUUGUGGUCAACAAGAACUUAAACAAUGGGUCAUAUUACCUCAUUGAUGUUCGAGAGCACAAAGACCCACGUAAGUCGGAGGAGGAGACCCGCCGGCCGUGGAACAUCGCUCAGCUUCGGCCAUACUACACUUAAACCAUCGGCUCUCAUCAUGUACAUACUUUGACGUUGUAUAUAAUAUGAUAAGUAAUAAAGCAGGACCUCUGUCCUUUUUCCCCUUCAAUGAUCAUAUAUCUUUAUUAUUUUCAUUAUUUAAAAUGACCAUUAGGGGGCUGAUCGUAUCCGAAUCUAGCUUAACCCUUUUGGUCCGGCUCAUGAUCGUAUUCGAAUCUAGCCGUAAAACUCAUGGUCACUUGGGGGCUUCCUGUUCAAACAUAGGUCGUAUUCGAACCAAAGAGAACAUAGCUGUCGUAACCCUCUUGAUCGGCUCAAAGCCAAACUCACUAGGGGGCUUCUUGAUCGUAUCUGAAUCAUAGCUUAACCCCUUUUUGGGUCCAACUUGGAUCGUAUUCGAAUCAGGGUCGUUAAAAACCUCUCAAGGUCAUUUGGGGGCUUCCUAUUCAAACAUAGGUCGUAUUCGAACCAAAGAGAACAUAGCUGUCGGUACCCUCUUGAUCGGCGCAACGCCAAAGCCACUGGGGGCUAUAUGAUCGUAUCCGAAUCUUAGCUUAACCCCUUUGGUCCGGUUUACUGAUCGUAUUCGAAUUAGAAGCCUCCAGUUUUUAUUUAAAUGUUUGAUUUACAUUGUCUGAAGCCUAGUGUUUUAUCUUACUAUUUUUAUCGUCUCAAAUCUAACUGUUAGUAUGGUUUCAAAUUAAACCGGCUUGGCUAUUUGACAAUGUGUCGCCAAGGCAUAACAGUCAUCAGACAUAUGGAAGUAUUGACUUCUAAAAAAGAUUGGGUUAUCAACCUCAUCAUCCGGGUCAUGUAAACCGACAGUCCAUGUUCAAAAACCACAGGUAUGACAGUGUCAUUCAUGAACAGACUUCCCUGGGUUUUUCGUCAGUCAAAGGAUUUUUCAGCCUUGUUUAUCUUACAUCUGGUUCUAUUUUUUCCACUAUGAUAAUUUCAUAAUCAUGUACCGGGUGUUUUGACCCGUCCGGUGCUAAGCCACCGGGACAGUUUUUUUCAUCUUUUACAGGAACAGAGUUAAAACAUUACAGAUGUAACCACGAUGUAAUGCAUAUAUAUAUUGACAUCAUGGGCAAAGAGUCAUAUGAAACAUCUUAUGCACGAUGGCAUAGGCAAAAUAUGCAAUUUUCAAACUAACCUAUUACAAGGCAUUGAGAGCCCAAAAGGUUAAACGGUUUUCUCUCUUAAGCAGGUCUUAAGCUAAAAACUGGAUUGUUCAGAUGGUUAUGACUCCUCCCUGGCCGUUUCACCUCCCUCCACUGGUUGGAAGCUGGGAUUGGACCAGUCAAAGCCGUUCAGAGCAAUGAACUCAGCCUCAUCGUCAAUUAGGCCGGCCGGGUCAAUUUGCAGGGCAAAAGUGUGUUGACGAACCGGCGGGAUAAGAUCCAUCACUUUAUAAGAGGGAGUCGCCAUCUUUUUAUUCUCCAUAUCAAAACCCGACUGAUAUUUUUCGAUGUUGGUCUCCUCACCAAGAAUGGUAGCCUGAGGACGAACUCCCCUCACACAAGCAAUAAAGUCAUCUUGCUCAAACGGAGUCCCGUCUUCCUUCAUGGUAGGGUACCCCUUAGCCACGUCCACCGGGUGUAAAUCGGGCACCCAGGCUUUGGAGCGGCUCAGGGCAGUCAGGGCUCCGACUCUGGCACAAGAUCGUUUGACCUCUUGAAAUCUGGCGGGUAAGAUCGAUAACUUCUUCAAAACAUCACUUAAACGGUUGGGUCCUUGGUUGGCAGGGGAUAUAUAUAGUAGAAAGUGCUCGUUGAGCACCAGUGUACAGUUGCUCCACCAAGGUAUAAACCGCCUUCAGUUUUGUCACACUAUCUUGACUCAGAUAUUUUACUUCGUGGACCUGUGAGUACUUUUUAACAAAGGCUCAGCAGGCGGCUUAUAUUUCUGGUUAAAAUAAAGUAUAAGUGACUAAUGCAAAUGACUUACCAAAGAUGGCGGAGACCAUUUGAUACACACGGUUUUUUAAGCCGGUGAGCUCCAUGGUAACCUCCUCAAGAGUCGCCUCUGCUGUCUUGGCACGUUGUGUCAGCAAGGUCUUCUCAUCGGCCCAGGAUUUCUUCUUCUCAGUCACACUGGUCUUCAAUUUUUCAGUUUUAGAGAGACUCAAUUGGAGUUUGGAGUUAGCAGUCUUUAUCUCCGCUUCUUGAUCCGCCAGCCGGGUCUUUGCAUCCGUCAAUUGAGAUCCCAAUUCAGUUAGGGCGGUCUACAAACAUGCAUAGGUGUGUCAAAAUUUAAACACAAGUUAUAUUGAUUAAAGUCGCGAGUGCUUUGCAACGCAACACCACUUGGCACUUGGGGGCUAAUGUCUGCCAAAGCAAUUUUAUGCAAAAUGACUCUUCUAUGUUUCAAGUCCCAAGUGUUUUACAAAGUAACAACGCUUGGCACUUGGGGGCUAAUGCAUGAUAUUCAGAAAGUUUUUCAAGAUGAGCCGGAUCACACUACUUAUUUGGACUAAUCUAAGACAGUUAUGAAGUUAAGUACCGGGUCAUUUAUGAUAAAUUGAGCCGGCCCUUGGGGACUACAUGUGAAGUUUAUACUAAUCCGUUGAACUUAGGAAAAAUCUAAAGACAAGGUAUCAACCUAUAUCAUAAGUCUACAGAUCAUUCAGGUUCAUCAUAAUCUGAAGACUUGGGGGCUGGCAGAGUAUAUAUAAACCGGAGAACGUACCUCAUAUUCUGUAACAUCCCAAAUUUUCAAUUUGGAAUGUUACACGUUAGGUCAUCAUGCAUAUCAUAUUUUAUUUUUCUUUUGGUUUUGAUCCUAGAAAAUCCUAAGCAACUCAAGGACCCACGGAGAGAGUUGGGGAUUUCAUUAUUUACAUAUUUGAGUUUUCUCAAAUUAUGUAAACAGGAUCAUUUGAUUUUAUUUAUUCUAUCAUCAAUUAUUUCUAUUACAAAAAUAUGAGAGAGGGAAUAAAAUGACUUUUCCAAAAUAUAGAAAUAUUGAGGAUUUAAUAAAAAAUCAAAUAAGUUUUAUUUCGGAGUUUUUUGGUAUUUUUAUUUGAAUUUAGGAAAAAUGCGCGUUUUUCAAAUUGUAGUUUGGGCCCAGAUAAAUGUUCACUUUAUCGGGCUUGAUUUUAGGAACCCGGCAAAAUUUAUUUCGUGAUUUUUGGAGUCCGUUUAGUAUUUCUUUUUAUUUUUCUUCCGAGCGGAUUUAAAAAAAAACUAGAACCGACUCCGUGCCGUAACCGGCCAGGAAACCUCCGCCCGGGGCCUUUAUAUAGCGCCCGAACCGGCCGAGAGAGAGAGAGAGGCCCGAAGCCAGCUAACCCUAACCCUAGCUAAGCCGCCGCCGCCUCCCAGCCGUCGCCGCCCGCCGCUGCCGACUCGCCGGAGCGCGCGCCUUUCGAGGUUCGCCGCCGCCUCGUUUUCCGUGAAGUUUUUUUUUAAAAAAAAAAUCUGUUCGUCGUUUUUCUUUUUCGUCGGAUUUUCCGCGGUUAUUUUCUGAUCGCGAUUUCUGAUCCGGUUUUCGUUUUAGUAUAACUUUUCGCUCGUUUAUCGGAAUCAGGCGAUUCAAGCGCCUGGAGUUUCGUCUCGAAACCCUCUUUCCGAAUAAUCAACUUAAACAAGUUUUUGCUACUGUAAAAUUUGCCCUAGAUCCAGAUUACUAGAAGGAAGUUGUUUUUUUUGCCGUUUGAUUUCUUUCGCUUCGUUCGAUUUGAUUCUUUUGCCAACCAGGGUUCUUAAGUUGAACUUUCUGGUUAGAUCUUCUAUUUGAGUUUUACUUGUGCAUUAGAUGAGUACUUAUUGUAUGCUUGAUGUUUGUCUGUGAUAGAAUACCCGGAGUGCGCCGCCUGUUACUUCGAAUCUCUAGGUUUCGCGGAUCAUCAGCAAGGCAAGUAACACUUUGAUCAUACCUUUUCUACAACCCAGUUUUAUUGCAUUAGAUCAAUCCUCACACAUUGCAUGAUUAGGAUCUAAUUAAAUUGUGGGAUGGGAAGUAGAUGAGGUAGUACCUAUUACCUGUUUAUUAUCAAACCUUUGGGAGUUACUUCUACGUUUGCUUAUGCCAUGUUAUGCCGGUAGACGUGGAUUGGGUGAGUGAUAUCCAUGACAGAUGUGAGAUUUAUAAUUAAGGGUUAUCUAAGGUGGCAACCUAACACACAUCUGGGUGGAUUGAGGCACCUGGGGUUACCAGGACUUGCCUGUUUUCUUUUGGACCGCCACCCAGGCCCAAAGGGAUCAUGAGAUUUUUCAUACUAGAAACUUCCGUGUGCAGCCACAAGCCAUUAUGGGCUCUGGCAUAGUUGACUAAGUUGUGCGAACUCUUACAGUGGUAGACUAGCAGAUGUAGGGGAAAGUAGGUGUACCGGUCUACCCGUCGUAAGGUGCUAGCGCUUCUGAAAGACUGUGUCUCGGUCAUCCGUUUCUCAAACACCUUGUAGUGCGAGAAACCAAACGGAGGUGAUCGAGUCUUGUGGGGAAAAGUGCGCAAACCUCUGCAGAGUGUAACAAACUAAUCAUGGUUAGCCGUGUCCCUGAUUAUGGACAUCUUGAGUAUCUAUUACCUGGAUUAUCAUGUGAAUCUCAACAUGUUACUCUAAAAUUAAUUUUGUGGGAUUUUAAUGAUGUUACUUAAUUGGGAUUGAGGAUGCUGUCAACCAUUCUCAAUGUUUAACAACCACCAUGAUAGUAAUUAAUUUUAUUCCUUUGAAGUAGGGAAAAAUUGGCUUUACGCAAAAACUGUAACCAUAGAGCUUUCCACCAGCCAAAUAUGCAUAUAGUAUAGUUGUUGCAUUCCAUUACUCUCUAUGUGUUACCUUGCCAGCAUAUUCCAUGUGCUGACCCGUUUCGGGCUGCAACGUUAAUGUUGCAGACUUUUCAGAUGACGAUUGAGGAAUUUUAGGUCGUGGUUCUAUACUCAGUGAUGCCGUUGGAGUUGAUGGACUCACUUAUCUUCCAAGCCUUCCGCUGUUAUCGUUAUUAGAUGGCCUUAAGCCAUAUUUAUUGUAAUAAGUUCUCUUUUGAGACACUCGAUGUAAUAAGUGUGUGAUUGCUACUCUGCUAUAAAUCCUCCGAGUACUGUGUGGUGUCAGCAUUACUGAUCCAAGGAUGACAUCGGAGCACAGAGAUCAGACUGUUUAAGGUCUGGUCGCUACAUAUUCCAGUUGCAAUUGCUUGACCAUCUCAAUUUCCGAGUCACGGCUGGAAUGCACAGGACUGAGAUAGCCGGACAGCAUGUCACUAACAUUCAGAUGAGCAUAGUGAGAGAUAUCAAAUUGUACUUUCUGUCUUUCCAAGGCCUCCUGUUUAGCAGAAUGCCUGGCCAGCACAGUCGGAUUACCCGGCGCAACAAAUCUGCUGCCAGUGAUCAAAACGUCAUGGUCAGAAGAUGCUGGCAGGUUAGCUGAACCGGACGGUCUGACGGUGGAUGGAUCGACAAUGGUUUCGUCAGCUGACGGCUCAGGAGGGUCCAAUUGAGCAUGGACAGCUAAAUCUUCUGGCGCUUCAGAUUGAGUGGGAGGAGUUGAUGUUGCCAGUUCAGGUGCAGGAUUUUUUGGGUCCUCUGCCGGUUUAAUCACCUUGGCUUUCUUGGACUUUGCUUGACCGCUAAGAAAGAUUUUUAUGAAAUAGUUAGUAUAAUGAUGCAGUUUUAAAAAUGUAGAGGAAAGAUGAUUUUCCUUACCCAUGGGCAGUCUUGAAAGCCGGAAAUUGAGUUUGGGAUGAGUCGCCAGAAGAGCGAGAGACCUCCUGCAAAGGUAAAAUAAAGUUAAGAAUAUAAGGAAAUAAAUUCAUGGAUAAAAACAAAGGACAAAGGUGAAAGAAACCUCAUUCUGGCGUUUUUGAGGAGUUUUUUCUAAGUCGAAAGGUGGUUCAUCAUCAUCAUUAGUCCGGGCCAGAUGGCGGCUCUCAUGUUGCUGCUUUUUCAAAAGAAAAUGAGGGUCCAAAUAAGCCAAAGGGUGCAAAAACCUUACUUUCCGGGUUACCAGUCGAAGUUUCUGUCUCGGCAAAGGGGCUGAGUCGUAGGAAAUAGUUACCUCUUCUUCCGCGGCCUGGCUGGCCCCCGUGUCAUCCUGGCAAUAGUCAGUGUCAAUAAGAUAGUUGAAAAUUUGGCCAAGGGAGAAAGGGCUACCUCCGACUCAGAAACAUCAUCAAGCUGGAAGAUGUCAGAUGCAGUCUUCUUCUUGGGCUUCCGGGUCGUUCUCUUGGCGGCUACGGCAGCGGAUCUAGCCUUCUUGGUAGCUUCAUGAUCAUACUUGGCCUUCCAGAAGUCAGAUUUGUCCUGUAAACAAAUAAAGAGGUUAAAAGGUCAUGCAAGUAUUUAAACUACUGAGGUAAACACAAAAAGAGAAAAAGGUCAAGAAGUUACCUCUGGUGUCGGGUUAAGUUUGCAGAAGGGGUUUAAUCCAACCUUGCUGUAGUCCUCGUAUUUGCCAUUCACGAGGAUGGUAGACAUUGCAACAAUGUCUUCUUCAGUUAAUUGUACAGAGCUAUAACGCAGAGAAUCAUUUGGGCCUCCGCCAUACUUAUACAUCAACUUGGAUCGGCGGCUUAGAGGGAUGACCCGCCAUGAGAUCCAGCAAUGGAUCAGGUCAACUCCGGUUAAGCCAUUUCCCAAUAAAGCUUGAAUCCUUUUGACAGAUGGGAUAAGCUUCUUGCGUUCAGCAGUAGUAAGCUUGUCAGGGAGCACAAACUUGGAAUCAAGACGCUCUUCACGAUAACCCGGCAGUGGUUUUUCAUCAGCCGGUGAUGUAUCUUGGCAGUAGAACCAGGUUUGCUUCCAGUCUUUGGGAUGGCUCGGUAAGACCACUAAAGGAAAAACGGCACCUUGUCAGCGUUGAAUUGAAAUUCUGCCAAGUUCCAAGCUAAGGCCGUUGGUGCACUCAUUCUGGCGGUUCAAGUAAAAGUACUCUCUAAAGAGCUCCACAGUUGGUUCUUCUUGAAGAUAUACCUCACAAAGAACUUGAAAAUUGCAGAUGUUGGAUAUAGGGUUGGGUCCAAUAUCUUGUGGAUGAAGCUUGAAAAAAUGCAGGACAUCUUGGACGAACUUUGAGCCGGGUGGUGAGAAGCCCCGGUUCAUGUGAUCUGUGAAAACGAUAACUUCGCCGUCUUUGGACUAAGGUCGUUCUUCGUCCGGGUCAGGAGCACGAUAAGACAUAACGCUUUUCUCUGGCAAAAAUCCAAUGGUGACAAAUUAUUUCAAGGUAUCUUCAGUAACUGUGGAAGGCACCCGGUUGCAGACAGUUGGCGCUUUUGACGGCAUGAUGAAGAAAGGGCAAGCUGAAAAGAAAGUAAUUUGCCGGUUCAAUUUAUUGGUGGAGUUACAGGUUCAUGAUUAUAGUACAGAUGAGUAAUGGCGGCUUAAGUAAGGGCUAAUGACAUGUAAAGGAAAAAUAAGCCGGAGUCAUAAGCCGCCAUGACUAAAAAGUAUUUGAAGGUUGCCAGAAUCAAAAUUGACUAAAGUGUUGAGACAAACAGGUUUCCCAAGUUGUGGCUAUUAUUAUGGAUCAAAAUGGUUCAGAAAAUAAAAAUAAAGUUAGACCUAGAAAACGAGCACAGAGGAGUUUGUCAGCUCUAAAGAGGCAUUUAUACAGGAGAAGGGGAUCUGUUAGCUUCAAAAAUGGAUGAGAAAUAGCUACCUCAUAAGUUUUGUACUACUUUUAGAUCAAAAGAGGGUGCGGUAAGAGAAGUUGCAACGAAUCUAUGACGAACAACGAAGAACACAAGAAGGAAACCUCCCGAACCCUAAUGCAGAUCUAUGGGGGUGAGAAGGUGAGAGCUUACAGGUGCGGAGCUGCUGCGGAGGAUCGCCACCGUUCUCUGGAUAGACUCAGGGUGAUGCUGCGGCCAGAGUUGAGGACGACGGUGCGCUACGGUGGCGACGGAGCUCGAGCGGCAAAGAAGGUGCGAGAGGAAGAAGAAAGAGGAAGGACUGGCCGAGCCUAUUUAUAAGGGGGUAAGUGAACGGGCAGACGCAAAAAUUGAGGAAGACCAAAGUAAUGAUUAUCCAGCUAAAUGGACGCCUCGAUCUUCGGAAAACAUUUAAGAUAAGGAUCCGUUGAAGAUGAAAUCGUGGUGUUUUUCCAAAUUUUUUCAAUCCUAAUGGUUGGUUAAUAAAAUAAGCUCAGUGAAUAUACAAGGCGAUAGUUUAUUAUAAGACUUGUAGUAGGCCCAAGCCCAAAGGCGGUUUAAGGCCCAUAAUUGUAAACCGCCAUGUAUAAGAAAGACUUGUAAAGAAAGGCAUGUAAGAGAAGUCACCGAGCCGAACACGUUAUAUGAGCCGGCCGGGACUCUGUAGGCUGCCAGGCGUCAACCCAUGUAUAUAAGGGGAUGACCCGGUGGCUGCUUAGGACAAGUAACAUCAAAUCAAGAGCCAUGCAUAGCGUAUUUGCUCCCUGAUCAUCGAAACCUAGCAAUAUCACAUCAACUGGACUAGGCUUUACCUUCACCGUAAGGGGCCGAACCAGUAUAAACCUUUCGUGUCCUUUGUCCCGAUUAACCCCUUUAAGCUUCCUAGUUGCGAUGGCUCCACGGCUAAGUCCUUUCACUAGGACAUCAUCCGUGACAAUUCCACGACAACUCUGGUGCGGAUCUUACUAUGGUUGACCUACGAGGUUCAGCGGUAACUUGAUCUGAAGUUUCAUGAUCAUCAUCAUUAGCUUCCUCACUAAUUGGUGUAGGAAUCACUGGAACUAAUUUCUGUGAUGAACUACUUACCAAUUCGGGAGCAGGUACAAUUGCCUCAUCAAGUUCUACUUUCCUCCCACUCACUUCUUUCGAGAGAAAGUCCUUCUCUAGAAAGGAUCCUUUCUUAGCAACGAAUAUAUUGCCUUCGGAUCUGUGAUAGAAGGUGUACCCAACAGUCUCCUUUGGGUAUCCUAUGAAGACACAUUUCUAUGAUUUGGGUUCGAGCUUAUCAGGUUGAAGCUUUUUCACAUAAGCAUCACAGCCCCAAACUUUAAGAAACGACAACUUAGGUUUCUUGCCAAACCACAGUUCAUAUGGUAUCAUCUCAACGGAUUUAGAUGGUGCCCUAUUUAAAGUGAAUGCAGUCUGAAAGUGCGUUAUAUCGACUAGAGGGGGGGUGAAUAGGCGAUUUUUAUGAAAGUCUUCAAAACAUGGAAGUUUCGAAGACAAACGAUAGAAAUAAACCUAUUACCAUGCAGUGGAAGUUAGACUACACUAGAUAAACCGUAGUCAUGUAUUCAAUGAAGUGAAAGGACAAUGACUAAUAGUAGCUAGGUAGUAAGGAUCAGGCAGGAAGAUAUUAAGAAGCCAAACGGAUCACACAGUCACUCAGUGAAGACAAAAGAUAGAGAAAACAUACAAUGACUUCACACAGAGUAACAGUAAGUAAAGAGAAGGGAAGGAUGAAACCAGUGACUCGUUGAAGACAAAGAUUUGUUGGACCAGUUCCAGUUGCUGUGACAACUGUACGUCUGGUUAGGGCGGCUAGGUAUUUAAACCAAAGGACACACAGUCCCGGACACCCAGUCCUGAACACGCAGCUCAGGACAUCCAGUCCUCACCGUAUUCCCCUUGAGCUAAGGUCACACAGACCUCGCCCAAUCACUCUGGUAAGUCUUCAAGGUAGACUCCCAAACCUUCACAGACUUCGUUCACCGGCAAUCCACAAUGUCUCUUGGAUGCUCAGAACGCGAUGCCUAACCAGCUGGAGGAUGCACAGUCCUCAAGUGUAAUAAGUCUUCAGAUCACUCAGACAAGAAGACUUAAGUGAUGCCUAAUUCUCUUUCGCUCUGGGUGGUUAGGGCUUUAUCCUCGCAAGGAAUUCUCUCUCAAAGGCUUCGAGGUGGGUUGCUCUCAAACGACAAAAGCCGUACUUUGAAUCUGAGUAGCCAACCGUUUAUGGUUGUAGGGGGUGGGCUAUUUAUAGCCACUAGGCAACCCGACCUGAUUUGUCCGAAAUGACCCUGGGUCACUAAGGAACUAACAUGUGUUCCAACGGUCAAAUUUCAAACUCACACGGAAACUUUACUUGGGCUACAAGCAAAGCUGACUUGUCCGACUCUGGACAAGAUUUUCUCUCAUAGUCUUCACUCGAAGACAUAGGUUUUUGUUUAAGCAUCACUUUAGUCAUUCUGACUGGCUCUCUUGGACCCCACUUAACAGUAUGUUGGUUCCUAUGACUCAACACAGAAGAAAAAGAACUACGAAAAAUCUAAGUGUUCAAGCUCCAUAGGCUUCAUGCGGUGUCUUCUCUUGUCAUAGUCUUCAAUGUGAAUAUCUUCAUAUACCACCUUUGACAUCAAUGUCUUCAUACACUUUUAGGGGUCAUCUCUGGUGGGAAAACCGAAUCAAUGAGGUACUUCUACCUGUGUUAUCCUGCAAUUCUCACAAACACAUUAGUCCCUCAACUAGGUUUGUCGUCAAUACUCCAAAACCAACUAGGGGUGGCACUAGAUGCACUUACAAUCUCCCCCCUUUUGGUGAUUGAUGACAAACUAGUUGAAGUUUUCAACGGGGAAUAUAAUGUGUGAAAUUGUAAAGGAUAAGGAAUUGUCUUCAUAAGUUACAAGGGCUCCCCCUGAAGAUGUGCAUAUAAGUAAUUUGCUUUUGGAAUGCAAAUGCACAUGGCAGGUUGUGCUUGUGGAGAUCCACUUCAACUUAUGAUGACAAUCCACUAUGCAUGUGAAAGUAUGUGAAGAUAAUGACAUGCAUAAUGGAAAAUGGAUGUCUGCAGAAUGAUCUAAGUGCGGAAUCUAUCAUCGCACAUGCGGAAUUUAUCAUCACAACACAAGGUAGCAAAUAGGUAGCAGACGACCAUCAAGUUUAAGUGUUACAACUCAAAGAACCAAAUGUUUCAAAACGAGAGUUGUAAGCACGAAGCAAAAUAUAAAACACCCGCCCAUAUGGACCCAUUUGAAGACUAUCAAACUCAUAUGCUUCUCCCCCUUUUGACAGUAAGGACCAAAAAGGUUUGAAGACAUAGAGCCUCUACUCGUUCCCAUGAGGAGUAGGUGAAGCAGCAGGAUCGUUGAUGGUGUUUGGCAGUGCAGACGAGCUUGGAGCAGUGUCGACGUGUGCUGAAGGAGGCGGCGAAGAAGUAGCAUCGUCUUCAUCCUCGAUCACUCUGGCAUUCACGGUUGCAGUAGAGGAAGAGAACUCAGGGUCUUCAAGUGAUGGAGUUCGUCGCAGCACAGCCCUGCGAGGAGGUGUGGAGUCAAACUUGAAGCGCUCAGUGAAGCCAUCCUCUUGCAGAUCAUCUUCAGAACACAGCAGCGUCAGCCCUUUCCAUGUGCGUCGAGAUGUUUCAUGAGCAACAAAGGCGUUCUUGGUGGCAAGAUUGUGAAUGCGAUUAACAUCCACCAAGAGGCUUUGCAUUUGACGCUUUAGCCAGUCAUGAUGCCUAUCCUGUUUCUGAUGAAGGGCCACCAGAAGCUCUCGGUCAUUGAGGACACGAGUGCGCUUCUUGGGUCGUUGAGCAAUGGUGCUAUCAGUGGCUUCAGUAAGAGCAGGAUGCGGGGCACGGGUAGUGCCAGCCAAAGGAUACACACGUGUUACUGCUUCAAUGCCUUCAACGUUCCGAGAGAAACUUUGAUGCUCUGCAUUCUGAAGACUUAGAGGUUCCUUGGCAGGCUCAGGAUAUAUGGCUUCAAUAGACAUAUCCACAUCAGGCAAAAAGAUCCGAUGAUUGCGGGCAGAUGGCUGAUAUGAGAUAGCAGAGUGAAGUUUGAUCAGCCGCAUCACCCAAGGGGCGUAGAACUUCAACCCAAAUAGAUCAGAGCCAGAUGCAGCAAGUUGGCGAAUGAAGAAAUCCUAUGUAUUGAAGCAUUUUCCAUGAAGAAUAUAGAAGACCAAAGUCUUCAUUGCACCUUCCAGCUGGGCAUGGGGAGAAUGUCCUUUGAUUGGCCAGAGAGUUCGCCUUAUGAUAUGAUAAAUGGUCCUUGGCAGAUACUCAAGGUCUUCAACAAAGAACUCCGUGGGAUAAGCAGCAUCUUGGGGCAAUGGCUUCAUCAUACUGAGCAUCUGACUCAUAUUGGGUUCAGUCUUCUGAAAGAUGCUCUCAACAGCUUCAAUGUGAAGCUGACAGCCAUGCUCAUAGAGAUCGCCAGGAGUGGGCAAGCCAGUGAGCUCAAUGAUGUCAAAGACUUUGGCUUCGUGAUGAACAUUUCCAGUCAUCCACUCUAGGACCCAAGUCUUUGGAUCUCUGUUAUACCCGCGGAUGUGAAGUGUGGCAUAGAACUGGAGCAGCAACUCUUCAUUCCAAUGCUCUUGGUCAGUGACGAAUGGUAGCAGCCCAACUUCAUUGAAGCAAUCCAAAGCUUCUUCCAGACAGGCAGACCAGCUAUAGCUUCAAUGUCAAGGCGCUUGUGUGGGAAGAUGCGACCUUUGUUGUAAAGAAUGCAUGAGUAAUAGCUUCGCUGCUGAUAGCUCCAGAACCGAUCAGAUGAUAUUCUUUCCCUGGAGUAGGGGUUCCUGGAGCUAUUGAAGAAUGUGUUGUCUGCUCUGAAGCCAUUGAUGUUAAAGGAGCCAGGUGCUAAUGCAGGACCUGGGAACCUGGGCAAUCUUGGGAUUGGCUUCUGGACCUGAGGCCUGUGCUCAACAUGAUAGUCGAAUUGGGGACCGGCAGCAGACGCAGGAACAGGAGCAGCAGGAUUAGUGGCUUCGCUGACUUCUGGUGCUGUUGGGGGUGAGGGCUCCACAUUAGCUUCAGCCAUGACGGUGUCAGUGGCUUCAGUGGUGUUGGUGGUGGCAGCCUCUAGAUUUUCAACCUCCACUUGACGAGCUGGAGGGUCGGUCAUGAUCACGUUCUCCUCGAGAACCGCUUCUUGGUGGGGCAGGGGAGUAGCAGCUUGUGGAACUUCUUCUUCCGUGGCUGAUGCAGCUAGAUUGUCUUCAGCAGAGACUUGAGGCCUUGGACCUUUGUGAAGCCUGCGCAACGCGGGCGAUGCCUGUGGAGCUGGAGUGGGCUGGGCCUCAUAGUCUUCUUCCUCUUGUUGGCGAUCCGCCCAUGAAGCAUCCUGUGCCAUUGGCGUCAGUGGACGACCAAUGCUGAUGAGUUCGUUGUUUUCAAGCUGAGGAAGAACUGCACCAUCUUCUACAUGGUCAUGUUGACCAAUGUCUUCAGCAGUGAUGGGAUCAGCUGUUGGAAAGUCUUUAGCUUUAUGAGCCUCUGUGGAAGCAGGCUCAUGGAUUGUCAGUUGGCGUUCAGCUUCAGGAUAGACCAUUGAAAUAGGUUCAACUAUCAAAGGCUCUGUGGGAGCAGCCUGUUCCUUCUUGGUCUUUCGUUUCUUCUUGGAGGGGGCAGUAGGAGAGGCUUCAGGAUGUUUCCUCUUCCUGGCUUCAGCCUCAGCAGUCCUUGUCUUCUUGAGCUCUGAAGCGGUUGACCGGCUUUUUGGCUUCAAGCCAGUCAGUCUAGUUGGGAAGACAAUCGGAACUGCUUCCUGCCUUGGUGCGUCGGAUUCAGCCGUAGCAGUCUUCUUCUUCUUCUUUGCGGCCAUCCUAGGGUCAAUGCCAGGACGCCCAAGGGCCUUGCGCUUCUCAGCCUCAUUGUAGGCUUGCACACAUCUGUCAGCCAGAGCCUUCAUGCGCUCACGUGAAUCCCGAGCUUCUGCACAUUUCUUCAGAAAGGCUUCCUUGAGCUCGUGCAUCAUGAUCUUGAAGUUCUUCACUUCUUGCACACUGAGCUUGGCCAUAUGCUUCUUGAACUGAGCCUUUUCAUAGUCAAUCUUCUGCUUUAGUUCAACAACGUGUCGGGCGAUGGCUAGCUCUGAAGCAAUGGCGCCUUGGAAGGCGACACUGAGGCCAAUGGGUAGCUGCAGAUCAUCAAAGCUGAUGUUUGGCAUAUCAAACCACUCGUCAAUGAAGUUGUGGAUGAUGGUUACAUCAAAGAGAGGCAGAUCAUUGAAGAUUUCGGCUUCUUCUUUGCUCUUGAUGAGUUGCUCAAGAGCGUCAUCUGCAAGAUCUUCAUCACUUGACAGAUCAAUGUCAUCAUUGCGCAGAAUGGCAGCAGCUGUUAGCUCUUGGCCGGUGUGUGGCAGAGGCAUCUUGGCCUUCUAGGGCUUGGAGAUGCGUGAUAAAUCUUCGGACUGCACACUGUCUUCAGGAGAUGCAGUUGCCAGUGGCUUCGCCCUUGAGAUUUUUGGUGAAGGGGCAGGCUUUGAAGCUUUGGGCUUCUUCAACUUCUUUGGUGUUGGCGCUGCAGGCGCUUCAUCUGAUUCAGCGUUAGCUGCAGGCUCAUUCACGGUUGUCCCUUGAACCAAGAUAUGGGUGAUGAGUCCUGCAAGGUUGUAGAAAGGACCGACGACAUUGGGUUCCGCAUCGCGUGUGCCGUCAGCCCUUGGAGCAGAAGGACCAGGGUUGAAGUCUAAUCCAAAAGACUUCUUGUUCUGCUUUGCUGAGUUCUUGGCAAACUGGAAGUUGCGCUUGAAUAGAUUGUCGUCACGGCACCAUAGUAGUGACGAUGGGUGUGCAUCUGCAGGCUGUGGCCCACGCACCAUGCAGGGAUAGAAGCCUUGUUCAAUGGCUUCUUCUCUGGACCUGGGUUGAAGAUUCUUGUAUAGGAUGUCUCCCCAUGGUCUCUUGAUGGCAUUUCUCUCAGCAUAUUCCUGGGUCACAAACCGGUAUUUGAACCAUUGUUCUGCCCAAUAUCUUCGAAUCCAUUGGAUUCGGGUCUUGCGCUGAUUAUAAUCCUGUUCAGGAUCUGUCUUGUAAAGCUCUGAGAGGUCAUCAGGAAAAUCUCUUGAUGUCCCCCCACGACGCUGUCUGCCACCCUUCCUUACUGAUUUCUCUGCAGCCAUGAACUUCAAACUGAAAGGCUUCAAAACGUUCAAAGGCUUCAAAGGUUUUCGCUUGCUGGACAAACAGGAACUGGCUUCGGGAGAAUUUAUAUGAUGCUGUAAGAAUUCUGCAAAUGAAUGCAGACUAUGAGAACCAAGGGAUUCUCCCAUGGACAUGUACCUGUGACAACAUUAAGGUGCAAGGGAAGGGGAAGAGGUCAUAUGCAUUCUCAGGAGAUUUUGAAGAUAAAUCAGUUUAGAAGACAUUGACCUCAUCGUGCGAAGACAUUCACUCAUAGAUAAGGAGUUGGUUCCAGAUUUGUACGAAUCCAGUGAUCAGUACAAGUGAGGAAUCUAACUACUUGUGAAGCAUAAGUGAAUAUACUAGGCAUGUUAUGAGAUGCAGUAGGAAAGAGAUCCAACUUGUGUGAAUAGAAACUUCUUAUGGUAGAAAGUGACAAAGCCAUAGGAUCAAAAGGGGCCGUAAAAAGAAGUUUUAUUUACCACACUUGGAACUGCUAGAUGGAGUGGAAGAGGAGGCCGAGCAGUUCGAUCUUCUGUGCCCUAACUUGGCGACGAAGGACACCUACGGCGACGGCGGAGAGGACGAUGUCCGCGGUCGGUGUGAAGACGGCGUCGGAGAGGUUGCGGCAGUGAAGCGCUUCGUCGCCGGCGUCGUCGAGGGCUAGCAGUGGCACUAGGGUUCGUGCGAGGGUGGAAGAAGAGAUGAUGACCGCUGUGAAGGGUGUAUUUAUAGGUACAGGGGCGGCACUGCGUUAUUACACAGGUGCCCCUGGCGAUUCACAUCUGAGGAACACGUGGCCAUCAUGCAGUAUAUUGGGGUUUGUUCCACGUCUCACGCACGCCUAGAUUGUCGGGUGGUCGUUCCUACUUCUCCGGGUUUCAUGUGGAGGAAUGGGCAUUGAAAACGGACUUAAUGUUUGUCUCUGUAUGUUCUGCUGACAAGGACGCAGAGAAGACAUUCGACAGUUUCAAUAGAAUGCAUAUGAUUUGGAGAGAUAGAGUUUGAGAUAGAGAGCACAGAGAGGUUAGGGUCCGAUCACAUUCACUUAGAUCAAAAGAUUCAACAAGAAGACAUAGCUAUAAGUGAAUACUGUAGAGGACAGAACACUAGUAUAUAUAUAUAUAUAUAAUCAACAUAGUGAAGAUAAUCAUGAAAACAUGUUGAGAUUGAAACCAAACCAAAUGUGAAGUCAUAGCAAGGUAAUGCCAUGAGUGAAACACUUCAAAUAGAACAUUUGGUGGUGGCGUUACCCACCGUAUAGGAAGUAUUAGACCCAGACACGGCGCACAAUUAUCGUGGCGCUCCGAAGUCAAAUUCCACAUUAAUGUAUUCACACUUAGAAUGUAUGUCUUCAUUGAUUGAAGAUAUACUUUACUUCGUGUGUUGCACAUCUAAGUCAUCAAUAUGCAUAAGGGUUAGGAUGUGUGCCUGAUCACAGGACAUUUGAGGAUUCCAGGAUAUUUAGCUCACAUCGUAACUUGCAAAAUCUCUUCUCAUCCAAGGGCUUGGUGAAGAUAUCUGCCAAUUGCUCUUCAGUGUUGACGUGUAUGAUAUCAAUAUCUUCCUUCACAACAUGAUCUCUGAGAAAGUGAUGACGAAUUUCAAUGUGCUUUGUCUUCGAGUGCUGAACAGGGUUGUUGGCAAUCUUGAUGGCGCUUUCGUUGUCACAGUAGAGUGGCACUUGCUUCAGAUGAAUGCCAUAGUCCUUGAGGGUUUGCUUCAUCCACAGAAGCUGAGCGCAGCAAGAUCCAGCAGCAAUGUAUUCAGAUUCAGCAGUGGAGAGAGAUACACAGUUCUGCUUCUUUGAAGACCAACAUACAGGUGAUCGUCCCAGAAAAUGACAUGUGCCUGAUGUAGACUUGCGAUCCACCUUGUCACCAGCAUAAUCAGCAUCCGAGAAUCCAACCAGAUCAAACUCUGAGCCCUUUGGAUACCAUAAUCCUAGAGUUGGGGUGUGAGCCAAAUAUCGAAGAAUUCGCUUCACAGCUAGGUGAUGCGACUCCUUUGGUGCCGCUUGAAAUCGAGCACACAUGCAAACACUAAGCAUAAUAUCUGGCCUAGAUGCACAUAGAUAAAGCAAAGAACCAAUCAUGGAGCGGUAUACCUUUUGAUCGAACUCUUUACCAUUGUCGUCAGGACCCAGAUGAUGCUUGGCUGGUAUUGGCGUCGUGAACCCUUUGCAGUCUUGCAUACCGAACUUCUUAAGGCAAUCCUUGAGAUGCUUCUCUUGAGAUAUGAAGAUGCCGUUGCGUUGCUGUCGUAUUUGAAUACCGAGGAAAAACUUCAGCUCUCCAUCAUGGACAUCUGAUAUUGCUCUUGCAUCAUAUAUCCAAACUCUUCACUGUACUUCUGAUUGGUGCAGCCGAAGAUAAUGUCAUCCACAUAUAUUUGGCACACAAACAGUUAACCAUCAUAUGUCUUCGUGAAGAGAGUGGGGUCGAGGGAACCAGGUAUGAAGCCUUUGCUCUUCAGGAAGUAUUUGAGUGUGUCAUACCAGGCCCGAGGGGCUUGUUUGAGGCCAUAUAGUGCCUUGUUGAGCUUGUAUACCGUAUCAGGAUGUUUUAGAUCUUCAGAGCCAGGUGGUUGUGCAACAUACACUUCUUCUUCAAUCUUUCCAUUGAGAAAGGCGCUCUUCACAUCCAUUUGAUAAAGAAGUAUGUUGUGAUGAUUUGCAUAGGCCAGCAGUAUGCGUAUGGCUUCAAGUCUAGCCACAGGAGCAAAUGUUUCAUUGAAGUCAAUGCCUUCCACUUGAGUAUAUCCUUGAGCAACUAGACGAGCUUUGUUUCUGACAACUUGACCAUGCUCAUCUUGCUUGUUGCGGUAUAUCCAUUUUGUGCCUAUUAUGUUGUGCUUCCGAGGAUCAGGACGCUUAACCAGUUCCCAUACAUUAUUCAGCUCAAACCGUUGAAGCUCUUCUUGCAUAGCUUGAAUCCAUUCAGGUUCCAUGAAGGCUUCUUCCACUUUCUUGGGUUCUGUUAUUGAGACGAAUGCGAAGUGCCCACAGAAAUUUGCCAGCUGGGUUGCCCUUGAUCGACUGAGCGGACCAGGUGCAUUGAUGCUGUCAAUUAUUCUCUCAAUUUGCACUUCAUUGGCAACACGAGGAUGUACAGGGCGAAGACUUUGCUCUUGCUGAUCAUUGUCGUUGUUGGAGGGAUUGUCUUCAGGUUGAGCAUUGUCUUCAGGUUGAUCUGGUGCAGAGAUGAUGAGUUCCUCUUCAGGAUGAGCUUUAGAAGGUAUGAUUUCUCCAGUUCCCAUUAGCUUGAUUGAUUCACUGGAUGGAACUUCAUCUAGCACAUUUGGCAGGUGCUCUCUUUGUGAACCGUUAGUCUCAUCGAACCGCACAUCCACGGUUUCAACCACUUUAUAAUGAAAGAGGUUGAAGACUCUGUAGGAGUGCGAAUCCUUUCCAUAUCCAAGCAUAAAACCCUCAUGUGCUUUUGGGGCAAACUUUGAAGUGUGAUGUGGGUCCUUGAUCCAGCACCUUGCGCCAAAUACUCUGAAGUAACUGGCAUUUGGCUUCUUGCCAGUGAGGAGCUCAUACGAUGUCUUGUUCAGAAGCUUGUGAAGAUAAACACGAUUGAUUGUAUGGCAUGCAGUAUCAAUGGCUUCAGGCCAGAAUUUUCUUGGAGUCUUGUAUUCAUCUAGCAUUGUUCUGGCCAUCUCAAUGAGUGUUCUGUUCUUGCAUUCGACGACGCCAUUCUGCUGUGGCGUGUACGGGGCUGAGAAUUCAUGUGUGAUGCCCAAGGUAUCAAGAUAUGUAUCAAGGCCAGUGUUCUUGAAUUCAGUGCCAUUGUCACUUUUGAUGUGCUUUAUCUUGGCACCAUAGUUGUUCAUUGCUCGAUUGGCGAAGCGUUUGAAGACAUCCUGCACUUCAGUCUUGUAAAGGAUUAUAUGCACCCAAGUGUAUCUAGAAUAAUCAUCAAUAAUGAAGAAGCCAUAGAGACAAGCAGUAGUAGUAAGAGUUGAGUAAUGAGUGGGACCGAAAAGAUCCAUGUGAAGCAGCUCGAAGGGUCGAGUAGUAGUCAUGAUUGUCUUCGAGGGAUGCUUGGCCCUCGUCAUCUUUCCUGCUUCACAGGCACCGCAUAAGUGAUCUUUCUUGAACUUGACGCCCUCAAUGCCUAUGACAUGCUUCUUCUUUGCCAGGGUGUGGAGGUUCCUCAUGCCAGCAUGCCCAAGCCUCCGAUGCCAGAGCCAGCAUUCUGAAGCUUUUGCUAGAAGACAUACGGCAAGUUGUGGUCCUGCUGAGAAAUCUACCACGUACAGAUCGUCUUUCCGAUACCCUUCAAACACUAGAGACUUGUCAGAUUCCAUUAGAACAAGGCAACAAUAUUUUCCAAAUAUUACGAUCAUGUUCAAAUCGCAUAGCAUUGAGACAGACAUUAAGUUGAAGCCAAGGGAUUCAACAAGCAUGACUUUAUCCAUGUGUUGAUCCUUUGAGAUUGCAACUCUACCUAGACCCAAUACCUUACUUUUACCAGUGUCAGCAAAUGUGAUGUGGCUCUUGUCGGAAGGACGUAAGGUUGAGUCCAUCAGAAGGCUUCUUUUGCCAGUCAUGUGAUUUGUACACCCACUAUCAGUAAUCCAUUCUGUAUACGCUGGUGUCGUACCCUACAGUGCAGUUAGGGGGAUAGGCUUCACGAAGAGAGUUGUGAAGCAAAAACAUUUGACGAACCAGUGGGUUAUGAAAGCUUAGAUCCAGAUUAGUACUGAUAGGGAGAGUAGCAAGCGAUUCAGGAACGAAGUACAUAGUAAGACCAUUCGGCAUUUGAUCUUGCGCCCUACAAGAUGUUUAAGGUCCCCAGCGAUAGCGUCAGAAGAUUUUGGUUUUCUGCUGGAGACCUUUCCCUGCAAAAGAGAGUUAAGCCUUCUUAACAACCCACAUCUUCAAGGGUGGCUUAGAAGCGAUAAGUCUAAGUGCAGAGUCUGAAAACUUUGGCUUUGGGGCUCUAGCAAAAAGUCUUGCAGGUGGACAAUAAUACUCAUAAGAAUAAGCAGAAUAGUUUUUGGUCUUAUGAACAUGGCGGUUCGAUGAACCGCGCUCAUAUUCAUAGGCCUGAGUAUGGUUUCCCUGCAAAACAUUUGCAUUAGUCCGACUCAGGUGAGUCCUCUGUCUGUAUGAAGCCUUUGGGCCAUAUGAAGCCUGUGGUCUGGGGUUUGUCUUCUUCAUCUAUGGUGUCAUGAUGACAUUCACAGGAAGAUUUUCCAAACACCUUUUGGGCACCCAGACCUUCUUCAUAGGCGGUCCAUUCCUGCAGUUAGUACCAAUGUACCUGGCAAAAACUUCACCAUUCUGAUUCUUAAAUAGUUUAUAGUUUGCAUCAAAGGAUUCAUCAAUGACAAUGGGGUUAGCACAAGUGAAGCCAGAUAGACUGGAUGGAUUUGCUGAAGGUUCCUUUGCAGCAACCCAUGUGGUUUUGGGAUACUGCUCGGGUUUCUAGUAAGAGCCAUCAGCAUUCAUUUUCCUUAUGAACCCAACACCCUCUUUCCUCGGGUUUCGGUUCAGAAUCUGCCUUUUGAGGACAUCACAUAGUGUCUGAUGCCCUUUAAGACUUUUGUACAUCCCUGUUUCAAGCAAUGUCUUCAACCUAGCAUUCUCAUCAGCAAUCGCAGUAGUAUCCUCAGUAGAGGGGUUAGUUACCACAUCAACAGUUGAAGAUAUUGCAACAGUAGCAGUAGUAGAACAUUCAGCAACAGAAGCAGCAUUAUCACGCUCAAUGCAUUUAAGACAUGGUGGUUCAAAUCCUUCCUGAGCGGAACUGAUCUGUUCGGCGCGAAGUGACUCGUUUUCCUUUUGAAGAUCUUCAUGAGCCGCUCUCAAUUUCUCAAGAUCUUGCUUCCUUUGAAGAUAAUCAUAGGAAAGCUUUUCAUGAGUUGUUGAGAGCGUUUCAUGACAACUUUCAAGUUCCUCAUAUUUAACGUGAAGAUUUUUUAUGUCUUGAAUUAAGGAUUCAGAUCGAGUCAUUUCAACGCCCAACAAAUCAUCGCUUUUGUCUAACAGUUUUUGAAUAUGUUCCAUGGCUUUCUGUUGUUCAGUUGCAAUUUUAGCAAGUGUUUUGUAGCUGGGUCUUGAAUCACAAUCAGAGUCAUCAUCACUAGAUGUUUGAUAGUGAGUAGUGCGUGUGUUUACCUUGGCACCGUGUGCCAUGAAGCAGUAGGUAGGAGCAGAGUCGUCCUUGUCAUUUGCAUCGGCGUCGGUGGUGAAGUCAUUGUCUUCAGUGUUGAAGAUGGACUUGGCAACGUAUGCUGUAGCCAGACUUGCAACACCAGAAUCGGACUCCUCCUCAGACUCCACCUCCGCCUCCUCAGACGCGGACUCCUCCUCUGAAUCCAUUUCCUUGCCAACAAACGCACGUGCCUUGCCAGAUGAGCUCUUCUUGUGUGAUGAAGACUUUGAGGAAGACUUGGAAGAAGACUUUGAGUAUUUCUUCUUCUUCUUGUCGUCAGAGUCAUAUUCCUUGCUCUUCUUCUUCUUUCUAUUCUCAUUGUCCCACUGCGGACACUCAGAGAUGAAGUGGCUAGUUUUCUUGCACUUGUGACAUGUUUUCUUCUUGUAGUCAUGAGCAGAAGCUUCAUCAUUCCUUGAGCUUGAUCGUGAAGACUUUCUGAAGCCUUUCUUCUUGGGGAAUCUUUGGAACUUCUUUACAAGCAUAGCAAGUUCCUUUCCAAUGUCUUCAGGAUCGUCAGAACUGCUGUCAGAUUCUUCUUCAGAUGAGGAGACAACUUUUGCCUUCAGGGCACGAGUUCGCCCAUAGUUUGGACCGUAGAUAUCUCUUUUCUCAGAAAGCUGAAACUCAUGUGUGUUGAGCCUCUCAAGUAUGUCGGACGGAUCGAGUAUCUUGAAAUCAGGUCGUUCUUGAAUCAUCAGGGCUAGGGUGUCAAACAAACUGUCAAGUGAUCUCAGUAGUGUCUUGACGACUUCAUGCUUGGUGAUCUCAGUGGCGCCGAGCGCUUGAAGCUCAUUUGUGAUGUCAGUGAGUCGGUCAAAUGUGAGCUGGACAUUCUCAUUGUCAUUUCGCUUGAAGCGGUUAAAGAGGUUGCGAAGAACGCUGAUUCUCUGAUCUCUCUGGGUUGAGACGCCUUCGUUGACCUUGGAGAGCUAGUCCCAGACCAGCUUCGAUGUUUCCAAAGUGCUCACACGGCCAUACUGUCCUUUGGUCAGAUGACCACAGAUAAUGUUCUUGGCAGUAGAGUCCAGUUGAACGAACUUCUUGACAUCAGCAACAGUGACACCUUCUCCAGCCUUGGGAACGCCGUUCUUGACGACAUACCAUAGGUCGACGUCAAUGGCUUCAAGAUGCAUGCGCAUCUUAUUCUUCCAGUAGGGAUAUUCAGUUCCAUCGAAGACGGGGCACGCAACGGAGACUUUAAUUAUCCCUGCAGUCGACAUAGCUAAAACUCCAGGUGGUUAAACCGAAUCACACAGAACAAGGGAGCACCUUGCUCUCAUACCAAUUGAAAGUGCAUUAUAUCGACUAGAGGGGGUGACUAGGCGAUUUUUAUGAAAGUCUUAAAAACAUGGAAGUUUCGAAGACAAAUGAUAGAAAUAAACCUAUUACCAUGCAGCGGAAGUUAGACUACACUAGAUAAACCAUAGUCAUGUAUUCAAUGAAGUGAAAGGACAAUGACUAAUAGUAGCUAGGUAGUAAGGAUCAGGCAGGAAGAUAUUAAGAAGCCAAACGGAUCACACAGUCACUCAGUGAAGACAAAAGAUAGAGCAAACAUACAAUGACUUCACACAGAGUAACAGUAAGUAAAGAGAAGGGAAGGAUGAAACCAGUGACUCGUUGAAGACAAAUAUUUGUUGGACCAGUUCCAGUUGCUGUGACAACUGUACGUCUGGUUAGGGCGGCUAGGUAUUUAAACCAAAGGACACAUAGUCCCGGACACCCAGUCCUGAACACGCAGCUCAGGACACCCAGUCCUCACAGUAUUCCCCUUGAGCUAAGGUCACACAGACCUCGCCCAAUCACUCUGGUAAGUCUUCAAGGUAGACUCCCAAACCUUCACAGACUUCGUUCACCGGCAAUCCACAAUGUCUCUUGGAUGCUAUAACGCGACGCCUAACUGGCUGGAGGAUGCACAGUCCUCAAGUGUAAUAAGUCUUCAUAUCACUCAGACAAGAAGACUUAAGUGAUGCCUAAUUCUCUUUGGCUCUGGGUGGUUAGGGCUUUAUCCUCGCAAGGAAUUCUCUCUCAAAGGCUUCGAGGUGGGUUGCUCUCAAACGACAAAAGCCGUACUCUGAAUCCGAGCAGCCAACCGUUUAUGGUUGUAGGGGGUGGGCUAUUUAUAGCCACUAGGCAACCCGACAUGAUUUGUCCGAAAUGACCCUGGGUCACUAAGGAACUGACACGUGUUCCAACGGUCAGAUUUCAAACUCACACGGCAACUUUACUUGGGCUACAAGCAAAGCUGACUUGUCCGACUCUGGACAAGAUUUGCUCUCAUAGUCUUCACUCGAAGACAUAGGUUUUUGUUUAAGCAUCACUUCAGUCAUUCUGACUGGUUCUCUUGGACCCCACUUAACAGUGCGGUGGUUCCUAUGACUCAACACAGAAGAAAAAGAACUACGAAAGAUCUAAGUCUUCGAGCUCCAUAGGCUUCAUGCAGUGUCUUCUCUUGUCAUAGUCUUCAAUGUGAAUAUCUUCAUAUACCACCUUUGACAUCAAUGUCUUCAUACAUUUUUAGGGGUCAUCUCUGGUGGGAAAACCAAAUCAAUGAGGUACUUCUACCUGUGUUAUCCUGCAAUUCUCAUAAACACAUUAGUCCCUCAACUAGGUUUGUCGUCAAUACUCCAAAACCAACUAGGGGUGGCACUAGAUGCACUUACACAGUCGUCUCUAAAGCAUAACCCCAAAAUGAUAGCAGUAAAUUAGUAAGAGACAUCAUAGAUCGCACCAUAUCUAAUAAAGUGCGGUUACGAUGUUCGGACACACCAUUAUGUUGUGGUGUUCCGUGUGGCGUGAGUUGCGAAACUGUUCUGCAUUGUUUCAAAUGAAGACCAAACACGUAACUCAAAUAUUCACCUCCACGAUCAGAUUGUAGAAACUUUAUUUUCUUGUUACGAUAUUUUUCCUCUUCACUCUGAAUUUUUUUGAACUUUUCAAAUGUUUCAGACUUAUGUUUCAUCAAGUAGAUAUACCCAUAUCUGCUCAAAUCAUCUGUGAAGGUCAGAAAAUAACAAUACCCGCCGCGAGCCUCAACACUCAUCGGACCGCAUACAUCCGUAUGUAUUAUUUCCAACAAGUCUAUUGCUCACUCCAUUGUUCCGGAGAAUGGAGUCUUAGUCAUCUUGCCCAUGAGGCAUGGUUCGCAAGCAUCAAGUGAUUCAUAAUCAAGUGAUUCCAAAAGUCCAUCAGCAUGGAGUUUCUUCAUGCGCUUUACACCAAUAUGACCUAAACGGCAGUGCCACAAAUAAGUUGCACUAUCAUUAUUAACCUUGCAUCUUUUGGCUUCAAUAUUAUGAAUAUGUGUGUCACUAUUGUCGAGAUUCAAUAAAAAUAGAUCACUCAUCAAGGGUGCAUGACCAUAAAAGAUAUUACUCAUAUAAAUAGAACAACCAUUAUUCUCUGAUUUAAAUGAAUAUCCGUCUCGCAUCAAACAAGAUCCAGAUAUAAUGUUCAUGCUUAACGUUGGCACCAAAUAACAAUUAUUCAGGUCUAAAACUAAUCCCGAUGGUAGAUGUAGAGGUAGCAUGCUGACGGCGAUCACAUCGACUUUGGAACCAUUUCCCACGCGCAUCGUCACCUCGUCCUUAGCCAAUCUUCGCUUAAUCCGUAGCCCAUGUUUCGAGUUGCAAAUAUGAGCAACAGAACCAGUAUCAAAUACCUAGGCGCUACUACGAGCAUUAGUAAGGUACACAUUAAUAACAUGUAUAUCAAAUAUACCUUUCACUUUGCCAUCCUUCUUAUCCAUCAAAUACUUGGGGUAGUUCCGCUUCCAAUGACCAGUCCCUUUGUAGUAGAAGCAUUCAGUCUCCGGCUUAGGUCCAGACUUGGGCUUCUUCACUUGAGCAACAACUUGCUUGUCAUUCUUCUUGAAGUUCCCCUUCUUCCCUUUGCCCUUUUUCUUGAUACUGGUGGUCUUGUUGACCAUCAACACUUGAUGCUCCUUCUUGAUUUCUACCUCUACAGCCUUUAGCAUUGCGAAGAGCUCGGGAAUUGUCUUAUCCAUCCCUUGCAUAUUAUAGUUCAUCAUGAAGCUUUUGUAGCUUGGUGGCAGUGAUUGAAGAACUCUGUCAAUGACACUAUCAUCAGGAAGAUUAACUCCUAGUUGAGUCAAGUGGUUGUGGUACCUGGACAUUUUGAGUAUAUGUUCACUAACAAAACUAUUCUCCUCCAUCUUACAGCUGUAGAACUUAUUGGAGACUUCAUAUCUCUCAAUCCGGGCAUUUGCUUGAAAAUUUUACUUCGACUCCUGGAACAUCUCAUAUGCUCCAUGAUGUUCAAAACGUUGUUGAAGUCCCGAUUCUAAGCCGUAAAGCAUGGCACACUAAACUAUCGAGUAGUCAUCGGCUUUGCUCUACCAGACGUUCAUAAUGUCCGGUGUUGCUUGAUACGUCUCCGUCGUAUCUACUUUUCCAAACACUUUUGUCCUUGUUUUGGACUCUAACUUGCAUGAUUUGAAUGGAACUAACCCGGACUGACGCUGUUUUCAGCAGAAUUACCAUGGUGUUAUUUAUGUGUAGAAAUAAAAGUUCUCGGAAUGACCUGAAACUUCAGGGAACGUCUUUUUGGAAAUAAUAAAAAAUCCUUGCAAAAGAUGAAGACCAGGGGGCCCACACCCUAGCCACGAGGGUGGGGGCGCGCCUGCCCCCCUAGGCGCGACCCCUACCUUGUGGGCCCCCUGGAGCUCCUCCGACCUCAACUCCAACUCUAUAUAUUUGCUUUCAGGGAGAAAAAAAUUAGAGAGAAGGAUUCAUCGCGUUUUACAAUACAGAGCCGCCGCCAAGCCCUAAAACCUCUCAGGAGGGCUGAUCUGGAGUCCGUUCGGGGCUCCGGAGAGGGGAAUCCGUCGCCAUCGUCAUCAUCAACCUUCCUCCAUCACCAAUUUCAUGAUGCUCACCGCCGUGCGUGAGUAAUUCCAUCAUAGGCUUGCUGGACGGUGAUGGGUUGGAUGAUAUUUAUCAUGUAAUCGAGUUAGUUUUGUUAGGGUUUGAUCCCUAGUAUCCACUAUGUUGUGAGAUUGAUGUUGCUAUGACUUUGCUAUGCUUAAUGCUUGUCACUAGGGCCCGAGUGCCAUGAUUUCAGAUCUGAACCUAUUAUGUUUUCAUCAAUAUAUGAGUGUUCUUGAUCCUAUCUUGCAAGUCUAUAGUCACCUACUAUGUGUUAUGAUCUGGCAACCCCGAGGUGACAAUAAUAGGGACCACUCCCGGUGAUGACCGUAGUUUGAGGAGUUCAUGUAUUCAUUAUGUGUUAAUGCUUUGGUCUGGUACUCUAUUAAAAGGAGGCCUUAAUAUCCCUUAGUUUCCGCUAGGACCCCGCUGCCACGGGAGGGUAGGACAAAAGAUGUCAUGCAAGUUCUUUUCCAUAAGCACGUAUGACUAUAUUCGAAAUACAUGCCUACAUUACAUUGAUGAAUUGGAGCUAGUUUUGUGUCACCCUAGGUUAUGACUGUUACAUGAUGAACCGCAUCCGGCGUAAUUCUCUAUCACCGAUCCAUUGCCUACGAGCUUUCCAUAUAUUGUUCUUCACUUAUUUACUUUUCCGUUGCUAUUGCUAUCAUCACUACAAAAUACCAAAAACAUUAAUUUUGCUAUCGUUACCUUUUGCUACCGUUACCACUACUAUCAUAUUACGUUGCUACUAAACACUUUACUACAGAUAUUAAGUUUCUAGGUGUGGUUGAAUUGACAACUCAACUUUCAACUGCUAAUACUUGAUAAUAUUCUUUGGCUCCCCUUGUGUCGAAUCAAUAAAUUUGGGUUGAAUACUCUACCCUCGAAAACUGUUGCGAUCCCCUAUACUUGUGGGUUAUCAAGACUAUUUUCUGGCGUCGUUGCCGGGGAGCAUAGCUCUAUUCUUUGAGUCACUUGGGAUUUAUAUCUGUUUAUCAUUAUGAAGAACUUGAGAGAUCCAAAAACCAAGAUUUAUCUCUCAACUACGAGGGGAGGUAAGGAACUGCCAUCUAGCUCUGCACUUGAUUCACCUUCUAUUUUGAGUAAGCUUGCGACACCUAAACCUGCUUCUGCUAUUCAUUCUGAUAUGUCGCAUGUUAUUAAUGAUGCCACUUGUGCUAUGCAUGAUACUUAUGAUGAAACUACUUCUAUGCUUGAUACUACUGUGCCACUUGGUGAAUUUCUUGAUGAACAACUUGCUAGGGUUAGAGAGAAUGAAAUUAUUGAAACUGAUAAUAUAUAUAUAUAUAUUUGAAUAUAUACUGUAGGGUAAAACCCCCACAGCCCUUUAUUGCAGUCUCAAAAAACAAACUGUACAGUGAAAGAAAGAGAUGACAAGCCUAAACGAAAAGUUAAGAAGAACUUACAAUUACAUGAGGGAGUUAACUCAAUCUACAAGCCUAGACUUAGAGCUAUCCUUAAACCUAUGUGACAGGAGAAGAAUGUCAUGUACAAAACUGCCCCUCCAGGCAACAAAAGUAGCCCGUAGUCCCCUGAAAGUUCUUCCAUUUCUCAGAAUCCAUAUAUUCCAAGCAGCUGUGAGCAUAACUUCAAAGAAGAAAGGAUACCCAAAUCGCUGCCUUGCUUGAGAUAUACAUUGCUGAAUAGAAGAACCAUGUGACCAAUCGAUCUGCAGGUAUUUCCAAACCCUGGCACUGAAAUUACAACCAAAGAAUAGGUGAGCCCUGUCCUCCCAAACAAAGGCAUUACAGAUGACACAUAGAUGAUCAGCCGUAGGGGACCUCCGGUGGCUGCGGACCAGCACGUCCUUUGUGUUGAGUCUGUCAAAGAAUAGGAGCCAGCCAAAAACCUUAAUUUUCAUAGUACAUAUGCUCUGCCAAAGCCACCUGCAGGGUUUAAUAGUUGGGAGGUGUGUAUGCAUGAUGUCAUAGAAGCUCUUUGCAGAAAACUGUCCAGAUUUACCAGGCCAAAUCCAAACAUCAGGCAAUGUUGGAUCUCUCUGGAGAUUGAACAUCCUUCCUUCCAAGGAUUCCAAUUCUGCUGCUGCCUGCUGAGAAAUUGGCAGAUGAAACAUUGAGAACAAAUCCUGGGUUUGCAAAAACUCCCUGACAGAAACCUUAUCAUCCAAAACAAAAGAGAAAAGCCUUGGUAAUCUGAGGCUUAGUGGCCUUGAAGAGCCACCUACAUGGCAAGCAUCCAGCCAAAAGAGAGCAGAAUCACCCAUAUUAACUGGCACUGAAGCAAUUGACCUAUAAGUGUCAGCAAGCUUGAGAAUGUCCUUCCACCAAAAGGAGCCAGUUAGGACUGUUGCAUGGGGCACCACUCCAUCAUAAUAACUAUCCCAAAUCAACUGGACCCAAGGAAUCUGCUGUUUGUUGUAGAACUUAUGCAUUUGUUUGAGAAGCAGACCUUGAUUUUGAACAUUGAGGUUGAGAAUGCCAAGUCCUCCCUUAUCCUUUGGUCUGCAAACUAAAUCACAGGCAGCUAGGGAUUGCUUAGGCACAUCAGAAUUUCCUCUCCACAAACACUGCCUGAAAAUCCUAUCCAACUGUUUGAUAAUACCAGGUGGGAUAUGCAAGCUGCAGAGGAAGUAUAUGGGCAUUGAAGUAAGCACAGAUGUGAGAAAUUGUAACCUGGAUCCUUGGUUGAGCAUGGCAGAGCUAACAGACAGUCUUCUUUCAAGACUAUCCACUAAAGGCAUGAAAUCAAUGAUUCUAGGUCUUGUUGUACCAAGAGGCAAACCCAGAUAUGUGAAAGGUAACUGCUCCGGUUUACAUCCCAGGAUGGAAGACAACCUCUGUGCCUCUGUGGGAUCAACAUUUAGUGGCACCAUUGAAGACUUUCCAAAAUUUACCUUUAGGCCAGUAGACUGUUGGAAAAUAUGGAGCAUGUUCUUGAGAGCCACCAACUGGUCCUGUACUGCAGAAAGGAUAAUUAUUGUGUCAUCUGCAUACUGAAUGAUAGGAAAUUCAGGGUCCUAAGAUGGGAUUGGAAGUGUUAGAACUCCCUUAGCCAGCAUGUUAUUGACCAUUGUUUGAAGAAGAUCGGCAGCUAUGACAAAUAAAAGAGGGGAUAGGGGAUCCCCCUGCCUGACCCCACAUUUAUAUUUGAACUGUUUGCCAGGCACCCCAUUAAGCAAAACAGAUGAUGAUCCUGAGGAGAGAAUCUCUUUAAUCCAAGAAAUCCAUUUGGCAUCAAAACCUUUGUGCUGUAGAACUUGCAAGAUGAAGUCAUGCUCCACAGUGUCAAAAGCUUUGGCAAAAUCCAAUUUCAAAAUGAUGGUUGGCCUUUUGGAUUGAUUGCAUUGAUGUAUAUAUUCAAAAGCCCAAGCCAGGCAGUCCUGAAUGGCUCUGCUCUUCAAAAACCCAUAUUGAUUCUUAUGGAUGCAUUGCAGAAUGACCUUUUGAAGCCUAUUUCCCAAAAGCUUAGUAAGGAACUUGAGGCAUGUGUUAGUAAGAGAGAUUGGUCUAAAAUCCUCAAGUCCUUCAGGAGACAACAUCUUUGGAAUUAAGGUGAUAAGGGAUCCAUUAAUAUUUUCCAAAGAUAGCCUCCCAUCAUAAAACCCCUGAAUGAGAGCCAAGAAAUCCUUCUCAAUGAUGGGCCAACACUUCUUAACAAAAAGACCAUUAAAACCGUGAAAGUGAUGAUGAAGAUUCUCCCCCUAAUAAAUAUGAAUUGCCUGUUGUGCCUGAGGGCUAUGUUAUGGAUGAAGAAAUUGCUAAAGCUAUUUUUGUUUGCAAAGAUAGAUAUGAUCUUAAGAAGUUAUUAGCUAAAUGGAAGCAGCAAUCUCUUAAUGCUAGAAUGAAACCUGACCCUGCUUUUGCUACUUCACCUAUCUGUGUUACUGAUAAGGAUUAUGAAUUCUCUGUUGAUCCUGAUAUAAUUACUUUGGUUGAAUCUGAUCCUUUUCAUGGCUAUGAGUCUAAAACUGUUGUGGCACAUCUUACUAAAUUAAAUGAUAUAGCCACCCUAUUCACUAAUGAUGAGAGAACUCGUUACUUUUAUAUCCUUAAAAUAUUCCUGUUCUCAUUAAAGGGUGAUGCUAAGAUAUGGUUUAAUUCUCUUGAUCCUGGUUGUGUGCGUAGUCCCCAGGAUAUGAUUUAUUACUUCUCUGCUAAAUAUUUCACUGCUCAUAAGAAACAAGCUGCUUUGAGGGAUAUAUAUAAUUUUGUGCAAAUUGAAGAAGAGAGUCUCCCACAAGCUUGGGGGAGGCUUCUCCAAUUACUUAAUGCUUUGCCUGAUCAUCCUCUUAAGAAAAAUGAAAUAUUGGAUAUAUUUUAUAAUGGACUAAGUGAUGCUUCCAGAGAUUACCUGGAUAGUUGUGUUGGUUCUGUUUUCAAGGAAAGAACACCGGAUGAAGCUGAAAUUCUAUUGAAUAAUAUGUUGACAAAAGAAAAUAAUUGGACACUUCCUGAGCCAGCUCCUGAGCCUAUUCCUAAACCAACUCCGAAGAAGAGGGGUAUUCUAUUUCUCAGUCCUGAAGAUAUGCAAGAGGCAAAGAAAUCCAUGAAAGAAAAGGGUAUUAAAGCUGAAGAUGUUAAGAAUUUACCUCCUAUUGAAGAAAUACACGGUCUUAAUUUACCGCCUGUUGAAGAAACAUAUGAUCUUAAUCCAUUACCUAUUGAAGAAAUACAUGGUCUUGAUAACCCGACACAAGUAGUAAAGGUAAACUCUCUCUAUAGAUAUGAUAAAAUUGAAAUCCCUCUUACUAAGUUUGCUAGCCAAUGCUUAGAUGAGUUUGAUAAUUUUAUGGUGAAGCAAGAAGAUUUUAAUUCUUAUUUUGGUAGACAAUUGAAAUACAAUUCAAAUAUGCUUGAACACUUGGGUGAUUAUAUGGCUAAUGUUAAAGGUGAAAUUAAACUUAUUAGCAAACAUGCUUCUAUGGUUACCACUCAAGUAGAACAAGUACUUAAAGCUCAAAAUGAUUUGCUCAAUGAACUGAAUAGUAAGAAUAAUGAUAAUGCUGUUAGAGUUAUGACUAGAGGUGGUAAAAUGACUCAAGAACCUUUGUAUCCUGAAGGCCAUCAUAAGAGAAUUGAGCAAGAUUCUCGGAGAAAUAAUAUAGAUGCACCUAGUUCUUCUAAAAGGAAGAAAAAGAAAAAUGAUAGGACUUUGCAUGCUUCUAGUGAACCUAUUGAUGAAACACCUGAGAAUCCAAAUGAUAUUUCUAUUUCUGAUGCUGAAACACAAUCUGGUAAUGAACCUGAAACUAGUGAUAAUAUUAAUGAUAAUGUUCAUGUUGAUGCUCAACCUAGCAAUGAUAAUGAUAUAGAAAUUGAACCUGUUGUUGAUCUUGAUAACCCACAAUCAAAGAAUCAACGUUAUGAUAAGAGAGACUUUGUUGCUAGGAAACAUGGUAAGGAAAGAGAGCCUUGGGUUCAGAAACCCAUGCCUUUUCCUCCCAAACCAUCCAAGAAAAAGGAUGAUGAGGAUUUUGAGCACUUUGCUGAAAUGAUUAGACCUACCUUUUUGCGUAUGCGAUUAACUGAUAUGCUUAAAAUGAAUCCUUAUGCUAAGUACAUGAAAGAAAUUGUUACUAAUAAAAGAAAGAUACCGGAAGCUGAAAUUUCCACCAUGCUUGCUAAUUAUACUUUUAAAGGUGGAAUACCUAAGAAACUAGGAGAUCCCGGAGUACCAACUAUACCAUGCUCCAUUAAAAGAAAUUAUGUUAAAAUUGCUUUAUGUGAUCUUGGAGUCGGUGUUAGUGUUAUGCCUCUCUCUUUAUAUCAUAGACUUGAUUUGAAUAAGUUGACACCUACUAAAAUAUCUUUGCAAAUGGCUGAUAAAUCAACUGCUAUACCUAUCGGUAUUUGUGAGGAUGUGCCUGCUGUGGUUGCAAACGUUACUAUUUUAAUGGACUUUGUUAUUCUUGAUAUUCCCGAGGACGAUAGUAUGUCUAUUAUUCUUGGAAGACCCUUUUUGAAUACUGCAGGGGCUGUUAUUGAUUGCAACAAAGGCAAUGUCACUUUUCAUGUUAAUGGUAAUGAGCAUACGGUACACUUUCCGAGGAAACAACCUCAAGUCCACAGUAUCAAUUCUAUUGGAAAAAUUCAAUCGAUUAUUUUUGAAGGUUUUGAAUUUCCUCUUCCUACUGUCAAAAGAAAUAUGAUAUUCUUAUUAUUGGGGAUGUGCAUAUCCCCGUUGAGGUAACAUAGUGUUAUUCGAAAUUCCUCCGGUUCCAUGUUAUUCGGAAUGAGUUUGCUAACAAGACUUGAUCAACCAUGUUAACGGAUUCCUUUUGAUGAGCAUGAGAUGGAUGAAACUAGAAGGCACAACUCUCCGUACCCUCCUUUUACUUUCUGUUAUUUAUAUUAAAUAAAAUUAAAAGAAGUAUUUUCCGUCUGUUAUCUGAUUUAUCCGUGCAAUAUAAAAUACCCCGAAAAUAAAAGUUCUCCAAAUGCCUUGAAAUUUAAAUAUGAUUUUUUCUGGAAUAUUUGAGAAUAUUUGGCACUAAGAACACAACACAGGGGGCAUCCACCUGGCCACGAGAGUGGAGGGCGCGCCCUACCCCCCCUGUGCGUGCCCCUUGCCUCGUGGGCCCACGGUGGCCCUCCUCCACUUAUUCCUGCACCCACACACUCCUUCCUCCCAUAAACACGAUUAUCCAGUUCGAACCCAAGUCCAAGCUCAUUUUGCUGCUAUUUUCGAUCUCCUUGCUCAAAGCACCUCUCACAAAACUGCUUGGGGGGAUUGUUCCUUGGUAUGCGACUCCUCCAUUGGUCCAAUUAGUUUUUGUUCUAGUGCUUUAUUCAUUGCAAAUUUAUGUUGUCUAGGUGCCCAUGUUCCUGAGCUUGCAUGUCAAAUUUAUGUGGUUCCAACUAGUUUUGAUGCAUGAUAUAGGCUCUAGGCACUUGUAGGAGUUGUUGCUAUCAAUUUUGUUGAGCUUGGCUCACUUUUAUUUGAAGUUACUAAAAAUUUCAGAAUUUUUCAGAAAAUAAUGAAGAGAUUUUUGAGGGGCUCAUCAAGCCGAAGCUCGAAGGAAAAGCAAAAUGAAAAAGCAGAGAGGCCCGAAUAUAAUCUGCCUCGCACCGCAGAGGUUCGGCCGUGUGAAUGGCCUUCCAAUGAUUUCUUGAGAGCAGUCGGGAUUUAUGAUGAUUUUUAUGAAUUGGCUGAGAAUGUAGGCCUCACCGCCUUCCUCCAUGACCAACGCGAACAAUAUCUCUUACUCACCAAUAUCUUUGUGCAAAACUUUCAUUUCCAUGCUAGGAGCUCACCACCUACGGUGGAGUUUUAUUUGUAUGAUGAGCACAAGGAGAUGUCACUUUACGAUUUCUGUCGGGUUUGAUUGAUCCCUUUCGAGGGCACAAUAGAGGAACCACACCGCGGUGAUGUGGAUGGGUUUAUAGAUACCAUCACUGUAGGGGAAACGAGGAAGGUUUCCGAUGCACGAAUCACUAGCAUACAUUUUCCUGUUUUACGCUACUUUGCAAUAUUUGCUAGUCGUUGCUUAAUUGGUCGCGAAAACUGUGGAAACCUUAGUGUUCCUGAUAUUAUUAUUUUGUUCCACGGUUUAUUCUGUGAUAAAUCUGUUAGUAUGGGCGGUAUUAUUGCUAAACGGUUAAGUCUCAACUGUACAAAGGGCCCCAUCUUUGGAGGCAUCUAUGCUUCACGCCUAACUGCGCAUUUUAACAUACCUAUUAAGCAUUAUGAGAAGGAAGAAAAAUUGCUGCCCCUGUUUAUUUAGAUUAUAAGAGUAUGGUGGCACACGAUUUUAUUGUUAAGAAUAGGAAAGGGGAGCUUAAAUACAAAUUGUUCUUUGAUAAACAUCAUCCUGAGACUAUUACCCUGCCUACUCCUUCCUUGUUUGAUUUAUCUCCAGGCAAGUACCUUGUUCCGUUAGAGGCUAUUCACGCCUACCGGAACAUUGCAUCAGCCACAGAGCCAGAGUCGGAACCACUAGUUGAUCCUCCACGACAGUCUAAUUACCAUUGGGAUCCAGAAAUGAUAGCCACCAGUGGAAAUCAGAGUCUUCUUCGCAGUACGACCCCAACUAUUACUAUGGAUAUCCGCCAGGCCAGCCGUGGCCAUAGACCAACUUAGGUCAAAAGCCUAAACUUGGGGGAGUACGUAUUUCCCGCCGACAUUACAUUCAUGUUCGCACACUCAUUGCUAGAUGUCGGUGCUCAUACUUUUUCAUUGUAUCAUCCAUGCUAGUUCAUUUCCUUUUUAAGCUUUCUUCUUGUGUGUUUAAUAAACCUUAAGAAAAACCAAAAAAACUAGUUGUAGCUUUUAGCUAGUUUUAAUUUCCAUGCUUGUAGUAGUAAUUAAAAAGAAAACCCAAAAAAAGAUUUCUUGUUCUUGUUUUGCUCGUUGGGAGCUUUCCCGUGUAAAUAGUUUUAUUUCUUUUCUUUGGGGGUCGAUAGGAGAAUACCAUGAUUAAAUUGUUGAAGUGGCUCUUAUAUAUAUUUUUUAUCUGACAAAAGAGCCCAUAUUGCCUUGUCUUCUCCAGUUUAUUGAAUGCUUGCAGAUUCCAGCUUAGUCCAAUGCACGCGCACUAUUAUUAUUAUCCACAUCGUUCGGUCGUGCAAGUGAAAGGCAAUUAUGACAAUAUAUGAUGGACUGACUGAGAUGAGAAAAGCUGGUAUAAACUCAACCUCUCUUGUUUUUGUAAAUAUGAUUAGUUCAUCGUUCCUGAUUCAGCCUAUUAUGAAUAAACAUGUUUGCAAUGACAACUAGAGAUCAUAGUUUCUUGUGCCAUGCUUGAUUAGCUAGGAGCUUAUAAUGGUUUACCUUGCGUGCCAACAUGCUAUUAAAAUGGUUGUGAUGUGGUAUGAUAGGGUGGUAUCCUCCUCUGAAUGAUUUGAGUGGCUUGACUUGGCACAUGCUCACGCAUGUAGUUGAAAUAAAAUCAACAUAUCCUCUACGAUAUUUAUGUUCAUGGGGAAUUAUAUCCUACUCAUGCUUGCAUUUGGUGUUGAUUAAUUUUAAUGCAUGUUUAUGAGUGUUGUCGCUCUCUAGCUGGUUGCUUCCCAGUCUUUUGCUAGCCUUCACCUGUACUAAGCGGGAAUACUGCUUGUGCAUCCAAUCCCAUAAACCCCAAAGUUAUUCCAUAUGAGUCCACCAUACCUACCUAUUUACGGUAUCUACCUGCCGUUCCAAGUAAAUUUGUAUGUGCCAAACUCUAAACCUUCAAAUAAAUAUCAUGUUUUGUAUGCUCGAAUAGCUCAUGUAUCAACUAGGGCUGUCUGUAUCUUCCAUGUUAGGCGGGUUAUUCUCAAGAGGAGUGGACUCCGCUCCUCACUCACGAGAAAAUGGCUGGUCACCGGGAUGCCCAGUCCCAUGCUUUAUGCAAAUCAAAUCAAAAUAAUUGCAAACAAAACUCUCCCUAGGACUCUUGUUAGUUGGAGGCACUCGUUGUUUUGAGCAAGCCAUGGAUUGAUGCUUGUUAGUGGAAGGGGAGUAUAAACUUUACCAUUCUGUUUGGGAACCGCCUAUAAUGUGUGUAGCAUAGAAUAUAUCGCCCUCUCUUGGUUGUUAUGUUGACAAUGAAAGUAUACUGCUCAAAAUAUUAUUCACCUCUAUUUCAAAACCGAGCUCUGGCACCUCUACAAAUCCCUGCUUCCCUCUGCGAAGGGCCUAUCUAUUUACUUUUAUGUUGACUCAUCAUCCUCUUAUUAAAAAUCACAAGUUGGAGAGCACCGCUGUCAUUUGCAUUCAUUACUGUUAGUUUACAUUGAGUAUGACUGGACUGGAUCUCUUUUACCAUGAAUUACAAUGUCUAGUCAGUCCUUGAUCUUUAAAGGUGCUCUGCAUUUAUGUUUUGCGGUCUCAGAAAGGGCUAGCGAGAUACCAUCUUGUUAUAUCAUAUCAUGAUUGUUUUGAGAAAGUGUUGUCAUCUGAGAUUUAUUAUAUUGCUCGCUAGUUGAUUAUGCCAUUGAUAUGAGUAAACAUGAGACCUAAAUGUUAUUGUGAAUAUGGUUAGUUCAUAAUCUUUGCUGAAAACUUGAAUGCUGGCUCUACAUAUUUACAACAACAAGAGCAAACAGAGUUUGUAAAAGUUUUUCUUUAUCACUUUCAGCUUAUCAACUGAACUGCUUGAGGACAAGCAAAGGUUUAAGCUUUGGGCAGUUGAUACGUCUUCGUCGUAUCUACUUUUCCAAACACUUUUGCCCUUGUUUUGGACUCUAACUUGCAUGAUUUGAAUGGAACUAGCCCGGACUUACGCUGUUUUCAGCAGAAUUGCCAUGGUGUUAUUUUUGUGCAGAUAUAAAAGUUCUCGGAAUGACCCGAAAAUCAACGGAGAAUUAUUUUGGAAUACAUAAAUAAUACUGGAAGGAAGAUCCACGUCAGGGGGGCCUCCACCUGUCCACGAGGGUGGGGGCGCGCCCUACCCCCCUGGUGCUACCUCUUGAGCACUGCGUUGGUUUUCCCUUGAAGAGGAAAGGGUGAUGCAGUAAAGUAGCGUAAGUAUUCCCCUCAGUUUUUGAGAACCAAGGUAUCAAUCCAGUAGGAGAUCACGCUCGAGUCCCACGCACCUACACAACCAAAUAAGAACCUCGCAACCAACGCGAUAAAGGGGUUGUCAAUCCCUUCACGGUCACUUACGAGAGUGAGAUCUGAUAGAUAUGGUAAGAUAAUAUUUUGGUAUUUUUAUGAUAAAGAGAAAUAAAGAUGCAAAGAAAAAUAAACGGCAAUAGAAAUAACUAAGUAUCACCUGGGCGCACCCCCUGCCUCGUGGGCCCCCUGACGCUCCACCAACCUCAACCCUGACUUCAUAUAUUCACUUUCGGGGAGAAAAAACCAGAGAGAAAGAUUCAUCACAUUUUACGAUACGGAGCCGCCGCCAAGCCCUAAACUCUCUCGGGAGGGCUGAUCUGGAGUCCGUUCGGGGCUCCGAAGAGGGGAAUCCAUCGCCAUCAUCAUCAUCAACCUUCCUCCAUCACCAAUUUCAUGAUGCUCACCGUCGUGCGUGCAUAAUUCCAUCGUAGGCUUGCUGGACGGUGAUGGGUUGGAUGAGAUUUAUCAUGUAAUCGAGUUAGUUUUGUUAGGGUUUGAUCCCUAGUAUCCACUAUGUUCUGAGAUUGAUGUUGCUAUGACUUUGCUAUGCUUAAUGCUUGUCACUAGGGCCCGAGUGCCAUGAUUUCAGAUCUGAACCUAUUAUGUUAUCAUCAAUAUAUGAGCGUUCUUGAUCCUAUCUUGCAAGUCUAUAGUCACCUACUAUGUGUUAUGAUCCGGCAACCCCGAAGUGACAAUAAUCGGGACCACUCCUGGUGAUGACCGUAGUUUGAGGAGUUCAUGUAUUCACUAUGUGUUAAUGCUUUGGUCCGGUACUCUAUUAAAAGGAGGCCUUAAUAUCCCUUAGUUUCUGCUAGGACCCCGCUUCCACGGGAGGGUAGGACAAAAGAUGUCAUGCAAGUUCUUUUCCAUAAGCACGUAUGACUAUAUUCGGAAUACAUGCCUACAUUACAUUAAUGAAUUGGAGCUAGUUCUAUGUCACCCUAGGUUAUGAUUGUUACAUGAUGAACCGCAUCCGACAUAAUUCUCUAUCACUGAUCCAUUGCCUACGAGCUUUCCAUAUAUUGUUCUUCGCUUAUUUACUUUUCCAUUGCUAUUGCUAUCAUCACUACAAAAUACCAAAAACAUUACUUUUGCUAUCGUUACCUUUUGCUGCCGUUACCACUACUAUCAUAUUACUUUGCUACUAAACACUUUGCUGCAGAUAUUAAGUUUCCAGGUGUGGUUGAAUUGACAAGUCAGCUGCUAAUAGUUGAGAAUAUUCUUUGGCUCCCCUUGUGUUGAAUCAAUAAAUUUGGGUUGAAUACUCUACCCUUGAAAACUGUUGCGAUCCCCUAUACUUGUGGGUUAUCAUUGCUCCUGCAGCGGGUCUUGCACAUAGCGGUGCUUCCAGGACGUAAUUCUUCUGUGUAGCAAUGAGGAUAAUCCUCAAGUUACGGACCUAGUCCAUGUAGUUGCUACCAUCAUCUUUCAACUUAGGUUUCUCUACGAACGCAUUAAAAUUCAAAGGGACAUUAGCACGGGCCAUUGAUCUACAACAACAUAGACAUGCAAACUACUAUCAGGUGCUAAGUUCAUGAUAAAUUAAAGUUCAAUUAAUCAUAUUACUUAAGAACUCCCACUUAGAUAGACAUCCCUCUAGUCAUCUAAAUGAUCACGUGAUCCAUAUCAACUAAACCAUGUCCGAUCAUCUCGUGAGAUGGAGUAGUUUCAAUGGUGAACAUCACUAUGUUGAUCAUAUCUACUAUAUGAUUCACGCUCGACCUUUCGGUCUCAGUGUUCCGAGGCCAUAUCUGCAUAUGCUAGGCUCGUCAAGUUUAACCCGAGUAUUCUGCGUGUGCAAAACUGGCUUGCACCCGUUGUAUGUGAACGUAGAGCUUAUCACACCCGGUUAUCACGUGGUGUCUCGGCACGACGAACUAUAGCAAUGGUGCAUACUCAGAGAGAACACUUGUACCUUGAAAUUUAGUGAGAGAUCAUCUUAUAAUGCUACCGCCGUACUAAGCAAAAUAAGAUGCAUAAAGGAUAAACAUCACAUGCAAUCAAAAUAAGUGAUAUGAUAUGGCCAUCAUCAUCUUGUGCCUUUGAUCUCCAUCUCCAAAGAACCGUUAUGAUCACCAUCAUCACCGGCUUGACACCUUGAUCUCCAUCGUAGCAUCGUUGUCAUCUCGCCAACUAUUGCUUCUACGACUAUCGCUACCACUUAGUGAUAACGUAAAGCAAUUACAUGGCGAUUGCAUUUCAUACAAUAAAGCGACAACCAUAAGGCUCCUGCCAGUUGCCGAUAACUUUUACAAAACAUGAUCAUCUCAUACAACAACUUAUAUAUCAUCACGCAAAAACAAGUUAGACGUCCUCUACUUUGUUGUUGCAAGUUUUACGUGGCUGCUACAGGCUUCUAGCAAGAACCGUUCUUAUCUACGCAUCAAAACCACAAUGAUUUUUCAUCAAGUGUGUUGUUUUAACCUUCAACAAGGACCGGGCGUAGUCAAACUCGAUUCAACUAAAGUUGGAGAAACAGACACCCAGUAGCCACCUGUGUGUGAAGCACCUCGAUGGAACCAGUCUCAUGAACGCGGUCAUGUAAUGUCGGCCUGAGCUGCUUCAUCCAACAAUACCGCCAAAUCAAAGUAAGACGUUGCUGGUAAGAAGUAUGACUAUUAUCGUCCACAACUCAUUGUGUUCUACUCGUGCAUAUAACAUCUACGCAUAGACCUGGCUCGGAUGUCAUUGUUGGGGAACGUAGUAUUUCAAAAAAAAUCAUACGAUCACGCAAGAUAUAUCUAGGAGAAGCAUAGCAAUGAGCGGGGAGAGUGUGUUCACGUACCCUCGUAGACCGAAAGCGGAAGCGUUUAGUAACACGGUUGAUGUAGUCGAACGUCUUUGCGAUCCAAUCGAUCCAAACACCAAACGUACGACACCUCCGCGUUCAGCACACGUUCAGCUUGAUGACAUCCCUCGAGCUCUUGAUCCAGUUGAGGCCGAGGGAUAGUUCCGUCAGCACGAUGGCGUGGCGACGGUGAUGAUGAAGUUACCGGCGCAGGGCUUCGCCUAAGAACUACGACGAUAUGACCGAGGUGUGUAACUGUGGAGGGGGGCAACGCCCACGGCUAAGAGAAACUUGUGUCUUUGGGGUGCCCCCCUCCCACGUAUAUAAAUGGGGGGAGGAGGCCGGCCCAAAGGGGGGCGCGCCACAUGUUGGGGGUCCUACUAGGACUCCCUAGUCCUAGUAGGAUUCCCCUCUCCUUUCCUUUUACGGAAGGGGGAAAGGGGGGAAGGAGAGGAGGGGAAGAGGGAAAGGGGGCACGCCCCCUCCCCUUCCUAUUCGGACUCCACUUGGGGGGACGCGCACGCCUCCCCCUUGUGGGUUGUACCCUCUUCUCUCCCAUGGCCCAUAAGGCCCAUGAUUUCCCCCGGGGGGUUCCGGUAACCUCCCGGUACUCCAGAAAAAUGCUCGAAUCACUCGGAAUCAUUCUGAUGUUUGAAUGCAACCUUCCAAUAUAUGAAUCUUUACCUCUCGACCAUUUCUGUGAUCUCAUCCGGGACUCCGGACAAACUUCAGUCAUCAAAUCACAUAACUCAUAAUACAAAUUGGCACGAACGUUAAGCAUGCGGACCCUAUGGGUUUGAGAACUAUGUAGACAUGACUGAGACACAUCUCCGGUCAUUAACCAAUAGCGGAACCUGGAUGCUCAUAUUGGCUCCUACAUAUUCUACGAAGAUCUUUAUCGGUCAAACCGCAUAACAACAUACGUAGUUCCCUUUGUCAUAUGUAUGUUAUUUGCCCGAGAUCCGAUCGUCGGUAUCCCCAUACCUAGUUCAAUCUCGUUACCGUCAAGUAUCUUUACUUGUUCCGUAAUGCAUCAUCAUGUAACUAACUCAUUAGUCACAUUGCUUGCAAGGCUUAUAGUGAUGUGCAUUACCGAGAGGGCUUAGAGAUACCUCUCUGAUACACGAAGUGGCAAAUCCUAAUCUCGAUCUAUGCCAACUCAACAAACACCAUCAGAGACACCUGUAGAGCAUCUUUAUAAUCACCCAGUUACAUUGUGACGUUUGAUAGCACACUAAGUGUUCCUCCGGUAUUCGGGAGUUGCAUAAUCUCAUAGUCAUAGGAACAUGUAUAAGUCAUAAAGAAAGCAAUAGCAAUAAAAUUAAACGAUCAUUAUGCUAAGAUAACGGAUGGGUCUUGUCCAUCACAUCAUUCUCUAAUGAUGUGAUCCCGUUCAUCAAAUGACAACACAUGUCUAUGGUUAGGAAACUUAACCAUCUUUGAUUAACGAGCUAGUCUAGUAGAGGCAUACUAGGGACACUCUGUUUGUCUAUGUAUUCACACAUGUACUAAGUUUCUGGUUAAUACAAUUCUAGCAUGAAUAACAAAGAUUUAUCAUGAUAUAAGGAAAUAUAAAUAACAACUUUAUUAUUGCCUCUAGGGCAUAUUUCCUUCAGGAAGAGCAUCGCGGGUGGGAGGGAGAAGGGGAAUUAAGAGAGUGUGGGUUUGGGUUUGGGCCUCCGCGUGCUAUGUGUACACAUGUGUUGGUGGGUCGAUAGUAGUGGUCCUGGGUUUAUACCCCACGCUACUACUAUGGCCUAUCCCGGGGGUACGGUAGAGACCGCUUAGUAGUAGCGAGGGAUUUAUACCCCUCACUACUACUAUCAACUUAGUAGUAGUGAGGGAUUUAUACCCCUCGCUACUACUAUCAACUUAGUAGUAGUGAGGGAUUUAUACCCCUCGAUACUACUAUGGCCAGUCCCGGGGGGCACGGUGGAGACCACUUAGUAGUAGUGUGGGGUUUAUACCCCUCGCUACUACUAUCAACUUAGUAGUAGUGUGGGUUCUAUACCCCUCGCUACCAAUAAUUAGCAGCAGUGUGGCCCAUAUACCCCUCGCUACGGUUAAGCAUCUAUCUAUAAAGUAUUUUCUAGUAGUGCAUCGAUGGCGGCGAAAUCAGUCGUUCUGCUUGUUUUCCCUACUAGCUCUCUGACGUCCAGAACAAGUUUACGGUCAUAAGGUGCAAUAACCUUGCCUUCAUGAGUGACACGAUGACACGGGAACAGGCUUCCAAGCCUAUGGUGUCGCAUCAUGUCGUGGUCUGCUAGACUUAGUGGACGAAUGCUACUACAAUAUCGGUUGAUCUCAUACUACAAUACCAAGGAAGACACGCAACUACUAUAUAUAUUUCUUCAAGUCAGUCAACACAAGUAAAAUCUGGGAGUUCAACUGGUGCAGCUAUGCAAUGCUAAUGGAGACAACACAAUUCAACUUUAGCACUUCACACAUAAGCAACACCACGUUCAAUGGCACACACCUUAGAGUGUACCUAUGGUGGUUGAUUGGGCUAUAAGAAAUGUGAGUCCAUGUGAAGAUGCCAAAUAUAAUAACACGGCUAAUUACACAUGCAGUGGCAGCAGCAACAAGUGCAUGAAUUCCACAAAUGAUCUAGGGUACACAUGCAACUGUGUCCUUGAGUAUGACAACAACCCUUAUCUUCUAGACAAAUGCAUGGUAUGCUACUAAUUUAUUUGCUAAAUAUUCCAAUGAAUUGUGUCCUUUACUUUGUACAUACCCAAUUAUAAUAUUUUAUUUUGCUAAUACAAUGUAGCCUUCAAUUUAAACCAAGGUUUGCAUCCAUUAAUUAUGUUAGGUUCAUAUGACUUCACUACAUAAAUAGGUAGAUAAUGCAUAAGACUGAGAUUGUAGCUAGGGAUGAAAAUCUAAAUACGGCAUGAAUCUAACAAUUAUGAGUAAUGUCUUUGUGACAAGAACUUUCUUUGUCUUUUAUUCCCAUGUUUGAACUAGUAUAGGUCAGGGUUACACAUUAUGGUGCACAUCACUUUAUUUGUCAUCGUUACAUUGAACACUCAUUGACUAAACAACGAUGAUCCAUCCGUCUUGUAUUACAGGUCUUCAUUUCAUUGGCCACCGAUGCUUGUAAGACUACUCCCAGAUGGUUGUUGUUGUGGAUAUGGUUGUUGAGGUUGGUGUGGUUGCUGGGGGAAUGGUUGUUGGGGUUGCUGGGAAAUUGUUUGUUCUAGUUGCUGGGAUAAUUGUUGUUGGGGCUGCAGAAAUGGUUGUUGUGGUUGUUGUGGUUGCAGGAUGGAGGGUUGCUGGGAAAAUGGUUGUUGCGGUCGUAGGGGGAAUGGUUGUUGUGGUUGUAGAGGGAAAGGUUGUUGUGGUUGUUGAGGGAAUGGUUGUUGUGGUUGUUGGGGGAAUGAUUGUUGUGGUUGCAGGGGGAAUGGUUGUUGUGGUUGCUGGGGGAANNNNNNNNNNNNNNNNNNNNNNNNNNNNNNNNNNNNNNNNNNNNNNNNNNNNNNNNNNNNNNNNNNNNNNNNNNNNNNNNNNNNNNNNNNNNNNNNNNNNNNNNNNNNNNNNNNNNNNNNNNNNNNNNNNNNNNNNNNNNNNNNNNNNNNNNNNNNNNNNNNNNNNNNNNNNNNNNNNNNNNNNNNNNNNNNNNNNNNNNNNNNNNNNNNNNNNNNNNNNNNNNNNNNNNNNNNNNNNNNNNNNNNNNNNNNNNNNNNNNNNNNNNNNNNNNNNNNNNNNNNNNNNNNNNNNNNNNNNNNNNNNNNNNNNNNNNNNNNNNNNNNNNNNNNNNNNNNNNNNNNNNNNNNNNNNNNNNNNNNNNNNNNNNNNNNNNNNNNNNNNNNNNNNNNNNNNNNNNNNNNNNNNNNNNNNNNNNNNNUGGUUGCAGAGGGAACGAUUGUUGGGUCUGGGGAAAUGGUUGUUGUGGUUGCCAGGAAAAUGGUUGUUGGGGCUGUGGAAAAGGUUGUUGUGGUUGUUGGGGUUGCUGGGGGAAUGGUUGUUGUGGUUGUAAGGGGGUCGGUUGUUGGGGUUGGGGAAAUAAUUGUUGUGAUUGCUGGGGAAAUUGUUGUUGGGGUGUGGAAAAUGGUUGUUGUGAUGGAUAUGGUUGCUGUGAUGGAUAUGGUUGUUGUGGAUAUGGCUGUUGUGGAAAUAGUUUUUGUUGAUGGGAAAAUGAUUGUUGAGGUGAUUGUAACUCUUUGUUGUUAGGGUUUAGUUGCCUAGCGGCAAUGGCGGUGUUCAUCGCCAUGGCAAGGAGGACAAAGAUGAGGAAGGUCUUCAUGUUGGAUUUGUGGUUACUACUGCUUGCUUGCCUUUGAUGCUUGUGGUCUAGGUGUGUGAAGUUUUGUUGAUGGAAGGUGUCCUUGGUGGUGCAUGUGUAUUUAUAGUUUUCAUGGCAUGGCUUGCUUUCAUCUUUGCACUCGCUCUUUGAAAAAGUGCAUCAAUGCUUAUCCAACUAAUCAUUUGGUUUGUUGUGUUUGGUGCAACUACUUACUAGUGAGAUUUUGGAUUUUCAUGAUAGUUGUUUUUUGUUGAAAUCAUCUGGUUGUAAGGAAUGUUGGAUAAUGACCAAUGACUCAUCUUCUUCACUUUACACUGCAAACAUUGAUCUAGAUUAUGUCCCUUUUUGAAAUUUAGUUUGUGGAGCUCUACAUGUUGUUAGGCUUAUCCAUAUUGGCAUAGCUUGAGUGGAGCUAAGUUUGUAAGCUUGUGUGCGCCAUUAUGAUGGAUCACACUAUUAAUGUGAUGAUUGUUUUACAAAUUAUCUUUCCAAAACUAACUUUAUGUUUUUUGCCCAAUAUGAUUCUAAGACGGAUAACCAGACAUGACUCAUCAAAUAACAAGAUAAACCGAGUAGCAAGUUGGGGGUUAUAAGUUAUAAUAUGGACUUUUCUCUAAGAUACACCAUCUUGUCUUGCAUGCUCUGUGGAUUUGAAAAGCAUCUACUAAUUUAGAUGCAAUUGAAACAAAAGUAGACUAAAAAGGUAAGCAAUGAAAUGAGAAUACUAUUAUGUGAAGCUCUACAUGUCUGGUAAGCAGUGAGAUACUGGAUACAUCUAUAUCUUCAAUCCUUUCAUCCCUAUCAACUCUUUAUUGGCUGCUUUUAUCGUAGUCAUCCCUUAAAUAAAAAUCACUUAAAUAUAAGUUUGGGAGUUAGUACCAACAUAUAUCAUGUACAAGAUAGAAAACUAAGGCACAUAUAGUAGUCUAUUGACCAUAUUUAAUUUCUUGUGAUGUGAAAGCAUGUGGAGUAUAAGUUGGUUAAAUAUAAAGUUGUCCUUCAUACCAGUAGGGAAAGAAUAUGCAGUAUAAAGAUUAGAGCAUUGGACUAAUAUGCUAUUAAAUGCUACAGGAUAAUUGACAGUUCAAGUUAAGAACAACAUUAGCAUUCCAACUUUUGUCUUGUGCAAGUUAAGAACAUGCUAACAAAGUAACCUAAGCAAAUAAGUGCAAAACCUUCACCUAUAAGGAAAUUGUGAAACUACACAAAAUGACCUAUUGUAAAGAAGGAAAAAAAUCUAAAGGUGAAUGAAAGAACGUUAAGUACAUUCAGGAUUCGAUUAUGCCUUCAUGGAUAACCUUUUAGAUGGUGACAUGUCCAUGUUGAUGUGUGUCGGCAUGGAACGAGGACAAGAAGACGUCGUUGCGUCGUACUUUGGGAAUUUCAUCAAACUGGUUGUGUGCGGGAACAAAUAUUUGUCGCCUCCCUGCUCAAAUCUCUCUUCAUGUCACUGAAUCCGACACUCCACCUACCAAAAUCAGCUGCAAGCCAGGGAUAAUCAACGGGUUUCUCCGCCCGUAGCAUCUAUCACCAAAAGUAGUUCAGACUAUAGUCUUGUAGUUCAAAAUUUUGUAAUAACAAGCACUACUAGGUUGCUUUUGUUUGUACGUCUUCAUUCUGUACAACCCAUGGAACUAAAAAUGCAUUGGUCAUUCUUUGUUCUAUACAACCAAUUCAACCAAAAAUGCAUUGGGCUUUUCUUUGUACAUCUUCGGGUUCUACAACCAAUGCAACAAAAAAUCCAUUGGGUAGUCUUCCAUUCUAGUCGGGCACCAACAGUUAAAUGAGGAGCUAAACAAUGUUGGAGUCUAAAACUACAUACAAUCAUGAAGCAUAGAGAGGCGACUUGGAAGCUGUGCUCCUGUGAGCUCGUAUUUUUGUAGACAAAAAGUAAUGUUUGUAUUUUGAAGUGGGAAAAAAUCCUAAAAAGGGAUGUUUUGCGGGUUAUAACUUACUAUUUUUGGGUCCUGGGCUGCAGGAAGGUCGUCAAAAUCAAUGUGUUUUCCCAUUCAAUGCAUGUUUCUUGGGUUAUAGGUCACGCUUUUGGUGUCCUAGGGAGAUCACUUCCCCGGUCAAGAACAUUAGGUGAUGAUUUUUAGAAAAACUCAUUGUUUUAGCCUAACUAGUUUCGAGGAUUGGUGGACGGGAUUAUCAUGGAACAAAGUGACAACCUUCCUUUUCUUCAUGCCUAAUAUAAACUUAGCAGUCAGCUAAAAGUAACUAGCGAUAUCACAGAAUGUUUUUUGUCAAAAGUAGAUACCACUUCAGGAUUCAACUCGGUUAGUUCAAUCACAGACAUGUUAAGAGCAGGAUUUACAACUAACUGCAUAGGGAACAUCUCCUUUUAUCACCCACUAUCUGUCUGUGCACUUUGGUUUUCCCGUAGCAUCACACAAAGCACUUUGUUAGUACCAAUAAUGUGCUCCAACUCUACACAUUAAUCAUCUUGAAUUCUUCUACUGAUGUCGAACAAUGUAAUAUCUUGAAUUCUUCUAACGAGUUCGGAUUAGACUACAUGGGCAAUUUAUCUGGUCCCUGAGAUGCAAGGUCGAUGAACAAUCGCUUCGUCUUAUGACGAGGGGUUGUUUUUGCCUAAGAAACUAAUACAUGUAACUUCGACACCGGAUUAAUAAAUGGUAAAACCUAAAUAAAUUAGAUCACGAGCUAAACCAUUUACUUUUGUAUGCAUUUAAACUUUUGAUACAUAUGAGCUUGUUAAGAUGUUCGCAUAAACACCAUGGUGAUUUGAAGCAAGACAAAGUAAACUUGAACCGCUUGAGCCACUGACUUAAUAAGAACCUCCUUUCCCGCGGCAGAGAUUGUUUUUAAUACAUCCACUCACUUUGGCCCAUAGUUUGUCUUUGAGAUACUUAAAAGCACUAGACAUAGAAUUGACAAUAUUAGAAGGCAAGCCCAAAUAUUUCACAUUUAGUGUUUCUACUUGGACACUGAGACCACCUUUGACCUCAUUUUUGACAUUCUCUCUGCAAUCCUUGCUGAGAAACACUGAAGGCUUCCUAUUUAUUUAUUCUUGACCUAAAGCUUCAUUGCGUCUUGCCUUGGUCUUGCACUACUUGCGGCACAAUACGCCUUUGGAACUGCCGUUCCGAAUUCAGAGUGCCGAAGGUGGUGUGACGAUGUUGAGAUACCGUACUCGUUCGGUAGUGAUUCGGGUUGAUCAUUCAGAGUAGACUUUGACAAUAGCUGCAAGGACAAGAUUGCAUUAGGGAGCCUUUUAAUUACACCUCGGAGGUGCUCAGCAUCUUCUUGAUGAACAACAUGGUCCUAGUGUUGAAUAAUAUCAUAUGGGGUAGUGCUACAACAACUCCACCACAAGCAUGGAGGAAUUUAGCAAAUUCCAUCAGUACUAGGAGAAAGCCUAGUAGCAACGCGAGGUAAAGGACUACUAGUAGCGCGGGUGCCCACGCUACUACUAGGGUGCUACAGCUAAUUGGUAGUAGUAGCGUGGGUGACACCCUGCGCUACUACCACGUCUGUUAGUAUAGUAGCGCGAGUGUCACCCGCACUACUACUAGUUAUCUGUAGCCCGGGUCUGACCCCACGCUACUACUAACUAAUUAGGAAUUAAAAAAAUAAAUUCCAUCCAUGGUUGCUGCUGCUGGGCGUCAUCGUCCUCUCCGUCCAUGGCUGAUGUUGGUCCUGGAGGGGAUGACGUCGUCCAUGGUGAUGGUACUUCCUCACCCAAAUCGUCCCCACACCUCUCCUAUGCUACUGCUACAAAAUAAGAGAAAACGAUUAGAAGAGGAAGAGAGAUAUUGAGAGGAGUAGGAGGAGCAACUGACCGGUGGCCGCCGGAGUUGGAGCUGAUGCCCGAAACCCUAGACGAUGCCCGGUGACCUGUUGCUUCUUUUCCUGGGACCUCAUGUCCUCACAAGGCCAUGUCUCAGCGAGGAAGUGCAAGUGGUUGCGUAGCAGAUCUGUUCAUCGCCAUUGGUGGCGCUCUGUUGGAUCUUCCUCUCCUUCCAGCAUCGGAGAAGGAGGAGGAAGGAGGCGAAGGUGAGGCGUAAGUCAGUGGCCCAAAAUUUUUAUAUAGAUGAGACUUACUAAGUAAUAACCCCAUAGAAUCUAUCUAUAUAAAGAUAAAGAGGCAAUCGUGUCAGGAAGCGGGUUUUUCUUUGGCCAAAAGGUACUUAGAACUUGGAACGAGCAUGAAGAGAUUAACGAGACUUCUUUCUCUUUUGAGUUUUUCUGGCGGACCUGCCGCGCAAGAUCUUUGGUCUUCCCCUGGAACCGAUGAAAAAAAGUGGAUUGCUUCUUAUGUACUCGCUCAGCUUAAGAUGCUCGCAUAAUCCCCGUGGUAAUUUGAAGCAAUACAUAGAGUAAACUAGAACUGCUUGAGCCACUAACUUAAUGAGAACCUCCUUUCCCGUAGGAUAUAUCAUUUUUUCAAUCCAUCCAUUCACUUUGGCCCAUAGUAUGUCUUUGAGAUACUUAAAAGCAGUAGAUUAGAAUUACCAAUAUCAUAAGGCAAGCCCAAAUAUUUCUCAUUUAGUGUUUCUGUUGGACACUGAGAACACCUUUGACCUCAUAUCUAACAUUCUCUACACAACCCUUGCUGAGAAACACUGAAGACUUGCUAUUAUUUAUUCUUUGACCUGAAACUUGGCAAUAGGUUUGACACAUCUGUCGCCCCUGAACCAUUUGCCUUGAAAAACAGCAGGCUGUCAUCUGCAAAUAACAAGUGGUUAACUGAUGCCACCAAAGGAGCUACUUGGAUUCCAGUAAACUGGGAUGACUAGUCUCUAGAUUUGAGGAGGCCCGAAAGGCCAUGUACUGCUAACAGGAAAAUCAAGGUGAAUUGGAUCUUGCUGCCGUAUACCACGGGUAGGUUUGAGCUCAUCAAGUUUCUUGCUCUUGAAUAAAAUUGAAUAAGAUACAGAAGCUACCAUGCUCAUUUCUAUGGAGGCCCAUUUAACAGAGAAUCCAAAGUUGAGAUUUAUCACCUCCAAAUACGCCCAUUCAACUAGAUUAUAAGCCUUCAUCAUAUCCAAUUUUAGAGUACAAUGGUGAUGUUACAAUGACUUAUUCCUUUUCAUGAAAUGUAAGCACUCGUAGGCCACGAUUAUAUUGUCAGUGAUAAGGCGACCCGGAACAGAAGCCGACUCUUCACUCAAUAUUAUCUCCGGAAGGGCCCCUUUUAGCCGGUUAGCCAGAACUUUGGGUGUUAUUUGUAAAGUUGCAUAGGCUAAUACGACAGAACUGGCUUAGGAAAGUACCAUUUUGUACCUCAUCACUAUCCUCGCCACAAUACAAAGGACAACCAUUGUUACCUCCUCGCCGCAAAUAUCCCAAUGUUUCUCAAAGAAAUGUUCAAAGAAUCCGUCCGGGCCCAAGGCCUUCAUGCGGAACAUUUGAAACAAUACAAUUUAAACCUUGUUGUAGAAUACUUAGCGUCAAGGAAGGCAUUCAUCGCAUCACUGACCUUUACUGGAACCAAGUCAGGAAAUCAUGCAUAUUAGAAACAGUCUCAGAAGUGAAAAGCUCCGAGUAAAACUAUGUUGUGAUCUCUUCCAAUUCCUUAAGAACACUGAUAACAUCACAUUAGGUUGCUACAAUGAUUUGGUCAAAUUAUUCCGCCUUCUCAUCGAAGCCCUUAAGUGAAAGAAGCAUGUGGUCUUGUCCCCACUAAUCAGCCACUUAAUCUGAGAUCUAGUAGGCAAGAUGAGUGACGGGAAGUAGUUCGGAACAAUUUCCUCUUAUUCACUUCUAAAACAAAUUUUCGGUUUUUGUCGUUCCUAAGCCAAGGAUUUGAUAAAUAUUCAUAAAUUUUUAAAAUGUUCACCAAUAUUAAAAACAUCAUGAUUUUAAAAAACCGUGAUUUUUAAACAAAAUCAUAAAUAUGAAAAUUGCCAUUCACAAAAUUUUAAAAUAAAAUCAUGAAUUUUAAAAGAAUUUUCAAAAUUUUGAUAAAUAUCUACGAAUUUUACAACUUUGAUGAAUUUUAAAAACAAACCAUAACAAAAAAACACUAGCAAGUUCGAUCCUAAAAAAUGCCUUGCCUUCUACUAUGCGUAGCGUGCAUGGACAGCCGGACCUAGACACCCUAGACCAAAAACCCUACAUCUGGGCCAGGCCCGAGCUCCAUUUUUUGGCCCAAAGCCCAGCCCAAAAAGGCAGAAAUGGUAAGAAAUGUAUACUUUAUUCAAAAUAUAGGUAUAUUAUAUUGUUUUAGUAUCUCAAAUAAUUAUUUAAAUUGAAAAAUGUCGUUGUUCAUGUGUUUCUGGACGGGCCAAGCCAGGCUCAUGCUUGGGAUUUUUGCUUCGGGCUUUGACAACCUGGCCCGGGGUAUGAUCAAGUUCAGCAUGGCCCAGUCACACACCCUUGUACAACAUUUUGUUGUAGAGAGCGGCAAAUAUAAUUUUCCCGAUCUAAUAUUGCUCGCUAUAAGUCUAUAUCUAUACUUUUUUCUAUACCCAUACUAAUAAAGCAAGGUGCGUUUCCCCAAUUUUUUCAUUCAUUCACUGUCGAAAACAAUUAUGUUUCCUAUCCGAGGUGGUCCUAAAUUCUUAUGCGUUCAUCUGCUAAAAGAAAGGCUUUUCCGGAAUUUCUUACGUGGGUUGCGCGCUAUGGCCAGUGAAGUCAGCCCACUUAUUUUUCUGCCCAUGCAGCUCUAAAAAAUCUAUUUAACACACAGGGCAAGAAAUAGUCGGCACUUCAAACUGGAAAACAAAUAAUGGGCUAGCCAAUUUUUCUUUGUUUCUGUGUUUUAUUUCUAUUUUUAUUCUCCUUCCCCGAUUUCUUUUUUCACUUCCAAGUUUACAUUUCUUAUAGAAUUUAUUUUAUAAAUUCAAAAUUCUCAAAAAACAUAGAGAAUUUUAAAAAAAUGGAAAAUGUUCAUAACUCCAAUUUUUUUGCUAUUUAAAUUUUUUUCAGAACUUGAAUUUUUUCCCUUUUUCCGAAAAUUUUAUUGUUUUUUAAAAUUGUUAGAGAUUUCUAAAAAGAAAAUGGAAAUUUAAAAAGUCUUCCAAAUUCGAAAAAAAAUCAUGUUUUAGUGAAAUUUUCACAACUCAAAUUAUUCUUAAAAAAUACACAUUUUAAAAAGUAAGGAUUUUCAAUACAUGUUCCCGUUCUAAAAAAAUGUUGACAAAUUCAAAUAAUGUUCAUGUUUUUAUUUUAAAAGUUCGUGUUUUCAAAAAUGUUUGUAAAUUCUAAAAGAUGUUCCUAUUUCAUAUUUUGUUCAUGUUUUUCUGAAAGUGUACCUAAUUUUCAAAAAACUGUUCAGGAUUUAAAAAAUGGUUCAUGUUGCCUACAAUAUUGAGAAACUUCAUACCUUAAAAUCUCCUCGAUUGAAGGAACCAUAGAUUGAAUAAUUCAUGGGCCUUCUCUGGUGGACGAUGACGUAGCAAAACUCUUAAAUGCCCUCAAUCAAUGAAUGGAAAAAUAGCGAAUUGAGUACUUCACACCCAGCGAAACAAAGAAGCUAAAUGUUCCCUUUUUACGUGCGCACAGGGUUUUGCUUGCACAAAUAAUUCUCACUAACUUCCAAUGCAUACUAAUUUUUCUCCCAUUGCGAAGCACAAGCAUAUGUGCUAGUUUUAUCCACGGUGGUACUAAAUUUUUUUGAGUCCAUCUGCUAGAAAAAGGAAAAACAGUUUUGUCAAAAUUUUCGUACAUGGGCCGCGCGCGCUGUGGCCCAGCGAAGCUGGCCCAUUUAUUUCCGGCCGAAGCAGCUGAGAAUAAUUAUUUAACGCUUGGGGCGGCAAAUAGACAAAGUUUCGCAUAGGGCGCCAAAUAUUUGGUCGGCCCAUAUUUGUUUUCUCUCUAGUUUGUUUCUUUUUUUAUUUUCCUUUCUCCUUUUCUUAUCUCUUUACUUUUUCUUUUUUCCCUUUCAAGUUAAUUUUUCUUUUCUCCUUUUCCAUAAAUUAAAUUUUUCAAUAUUUCAGAAUUUUAGUUUUGGAUUAAAUUUUCGUAAAAUCUUCAUAAUUAUUUCUCCCCAUUUUGAAUUGUUUUUAAACUAUAAUUUUUUCUUCUUCUUCUUCCAAAAUUUAUUCAAAACUAUAGAAUAAAGUUCGCAUAUUAAUUUUUUUAUGCUUUCCAAAAUUGUUUGAUAUUUUCAAAAUAUAUUGCAUUAAAAAAUUAAAUAUUUAGAUUUUAUUGAAAUGUUAAUUCAAAGUAAUGUUUGUGUUUAAAAACAUGUUUUUCAAAAUUCUUUUCAAUGUCCAAAACACGUUUUCAUUUCCAAAAAAAAUCACGUAUUCAAAACAUGUUUGCUUUCUUAUAAUAGGUUCAUGUUUUCAAAAAACAUAAAUUUCAAAAAAAUUGUCACAUCUUAAAGAAUAUUCAAAAUAUCGUAAUUAUUACUUUAUUUUUUGAAAAAAAUCAAGAAAAACAGAAAAAAAAAUGUAUAUUAUGCUACAGUAUAUUCUUAAAAUUUCGCCCUCGCCAUUUGUUAGCAUGAGCUGUUUGUUCGAGUGGCUAGCAGCACGUGGUCGAGUUUUUGAGGUCAUGAGUUUGAUCCUUCAACUCAGUGGUUGUUUUGGAUUUUUAUUCACGCCUUACAAAUACAAGUCAUUUUGGUACCUGCCAGCGGCCUUGCCAGACUCGAACUGCCGUGCAUCCGACGUGCUAUUUGACGAUAAAAGAGAAUAUGUUGCUUGACUAUAAUUAAAAAAAUGUGGGCACAUGCCAAUAAAAGAGGAUAUGCUGGUUUGACUCUGAUUAAAAAAAUGUUGGCAAGUGAGCGUCGAAAUAAUUAAAGAGAAUAAACCCUGGUAAAGUAGGGACUACCUGGUUACGUGCUUAUUAUACCAAAGAAACGGGAUUUCCUGCAAUUAGUACUUCAACCGGUUACACCAUCAUAGGAGAGAGUAGUCGAAGCAACUAUGCCACGAAGGUCGCCGUGCUGCACAAAAUGAGGAGGCAACCGCAACCUAGACACGGAGGCAGACUCGGAGAAAAAAAAGCGCAAGUUGGGUGGUGGCCACCACUCCAGCAACCCCAUCAAUAUCAAGAACUCGUGGGCCAAACAUGAUCUCAAGAACAUCGCCGGGGAGACCUUUUGAUGGACACAUCAAUUAUCUCUCCUGAUACUUCUCGUUAAAAAUAUCUUUCUAGUUCUAACGCACGGGCAUAUGUGCUAGUGAUAUAUAAAAUAUGUUGUGCCAAUGAGCACACGGGCUAGCGAGACUCGCCAUGCUUUCAUGUCAUACCGGAGUCCAAACACUCAACUGGAGGGUCCAACCUUAGCGACAGAGUCUUCUUUUGUUGGGAGAAUCUAUAUAUCCGCGAGUGUUAUAUCUCGCAUCUGGUUUACGCGCAGUGCACCUAACCACUAGGCUUUGCCUUACAUUCAUGACAGAGUAGUAAAGCUAGAUUGUUUAAGUCCACACGAGUCAAGGUUUUCAAUGUUUCUUCUCCAUUUUUUUUCAUUUUUUCAUUUUUGUUUUUAUAUUUAUUUCUGUCGGGUUUGUUUGAUCCCUUUCGAGGGCAUAAUAGAGGAACCACACCGUGGUGAUGUGGAUGGGUUUAUAGAUACCAUCACUGUAGGGGAAACGAGGAAGGUUUUCGAUGCACGAAUCACUAGCAUACAUUUUCAUGUUUUACGCUAAUUUGCAAUAUUUGCUAGUCGUUGCUUAAUUGGUUGCGGAAACUGUGGAAACCUUAGUGUUCCUGAUAUUAUUAUUUUGUUCCACGGUUUAUUCUGUGAUAACUCUAUUAGUAUGGGCGGUAUUAUUCCUAAAUGGUUAAGUCUGAACUGUACAAAGGGCCCCAUCUUUGGAGGCAUCUAUGCUUCACACCUAGCUGCGCAUUUUAACAUAGCUAUUAGGCAUUAUGAGAAGGAAGAAAAAUUGCUACCCCCUGUUUAUUUAGAUUAUAAUAGUAUGGUGGCACAUGAUUUUAUUGUUAAGAAUAAGGAAGGGGAGCUUAAAUACAAAUUGUUCUUUGAUAAACAUCAUCCUGAGACUAUUACCCUGCCUGCUCCUUCCUUGUUUGAUUUAUCUGCAGGCAAGUACCUCGUUCCAUUAGAGGCUAUUCACGCCUACCGAAACCCUACAUCAGCCAUAGAGCCAGAGUCGGAACCACAAGUUGAUUCUCCAUGACAGUCUAAUUACCAUUGGGAUCCAGAAAUGAUUGCCACCAGUGGCAAUCAGAGUCUUCUUCGCAGUACGACCCCAACUAUUACUAUGGAUAUCCGCCAGGCCAGCCGUGGCCAUAGACCAACUUAGGUCAAAAGCCUAAACUUGGGGGAGUACGUAUUUCCCGCCGACAUUACAUUCAUGUUCGCACACUCAUUGCUAGAUGUCGGUGCUCAUACUUUUUCAUUGUAUCAUCCAUACUAGUUCAUUUCCUUUUUAAGCUUUCUUCUUGUGUGUUUAAUAAACCUUAAGAAAAACCAAAAACAUUAGUUGUAGCUUUUAGCUAGUUUUAAUUUCCAUGCUCGUAGUAGUAAUUAAAAAGAAAACCCAAAAAAAAGAUUUCAUGUUCUUCUUUUGCUUGUUGGGAGCUUUCCCGUGUAAAUAGUUUUAUUUCUUUUCUUUUCUUUGGGGGUCGAUAGGAGAAGACCAUGAUUAAAUUGUUGAAGUGGCUCUUAUAUGUAUUUUUGUUGAUCUGACAAAAGAGCCCAUAUUGCCUCGACUUCUCCUGUUUAUUGAAUGCUUGCAGAUUCCAGCUUAGUCCAAUGCACGUGCACUAUUAUUAUUAUCCACAUCAUUCGGUCGUGCAAGUGAAAGGCAAUUAUGACGAUAUAUGAUGGACUGACUGAGAUGAGAAAAGCUGGUAUGAACUCAACCUGUCUUGUUUUUGUAAAUAUGAUUAGUUCAUCGUUCCUGAUUCAGCCUAUUAUGAAUAAACAUGUUUGCAAUGACAACUAGAGAUCAUAGUUUCUUGUGCCAUGCUUGAUUAGCUAGGAGCUUAUAAUGGUUUACCUUGCGUGCCAACAUGCUAUUAAAAUGGUUGUGAUGUGGUAUGAUAGGGUGGUAUCCUCCUCUGAACGAUUCGAGUGGCUUGACUUGGCACAUAUUCACGCAUGUAGUUGAAACAAAAUCAACAUAGCCUCUACGAUAUUUAUGUUCAUGGUGAAUUAUAUCCUACUCAUGCUUGCAUUCGGUGCUGAUUAAUUUUAAUGCAUGUUUAUGACUGUUGUCGCUCUCUAGCUGGUCGCUUCCCAGUCUUUUGCUAGCCUUCACCUAUACUAAGCGGGAAUACUACUUGUGCAUCCAAUCCCAUAAACCCCAAAGUUAUUCCAUAUGAGUCCACCAUACCUACCUAUUUACGGUAUCUACCUGCCGUUGCAAGUAAAUUUGUAUGUGCCAAACUCUAAACCUUCAAAUAAAUAUCAUGUUUUGUAUGCUCGAAUAGCUCAUGUAUCAACUAGGUUUGUCUGUAUCUUUCAUGUUAGGCGGGUUAUUCUCAAGAGGAGUGGACUCCGCUCCUCACUCGCGAGAAAAUGGCUGGUCACCCGGAUGCCUAGUCCCAUGCUUUAUGCAAAUCAAAUCAAAAUAAUUGCAAACAAAAUUGCCCCUGGGACUCUUGUUAGUUGGAGGCACUCGUUGUUUCGAGCAAGCCAUGGAUUGAUGCUUGUUGGUGGAGGGGGGGUAUAAAAUUUUCCAUUCUGUUUGGGAACCGCCUAUAAUGUGUGUAGCAUGGAAGAUAUCACCAUCUCUUGGUUGUUAUGUUGACAAUGAAAGUAUACCGCUCAAAAUAUUAUUUACCUCUAUUUCAAAAUCGAGCUCUGGCACCUCUACAAAUCCCUGCUUCCCUCUGCGAAGGGCCUAUCUAUUUACUUUUAUGUUGAGUCAUCAUCCUCUUAUUAAAAUGCACCAGUUGGAGAGCACCGUUGUCAUUUGCAUUCAUUACUAUUAUUUUACAUUGAAUAUGACUUGACUGGAUCUCUUUUACCAUGAAUUACAAUGUCUAGUCAGUCCUUGAUCUUUAAAGGUGCUCUACAUUUAUGUUUUGCGGUCUCAGAAAGGGCUAGCGAGAUACCAUCUUGUUAUAUCAUAUCAUGAUUGUUUUGAGAAAGUGUUGUCAUCCGAGAUUUAUUGUUAUUGCUCGCUAGUUGAUUAUGCCAUUGAUAUGAGUAAACAUGAUACAUAAAUGUUAUUGGAAUAUGGUUAGUUCAUAAUCUUUGCUGAAAACUUGAAUGCUGGCUCUACAUAUUUACAACAACAAGAGCAAACAGAGUUUGUAAAAGUUUUUCUUUAUCACUUUCAGUUUAUCAACUGAAUUGCUUGAGGACAAGCAAAGGUUUAAGCUUGAGGGAGUUGAUACGUCUCCGUCGUAUCUACUUUUCCAAACACUUUUGCCCUUGUUUUGGACUCUAACUUGCAUGAUUUGAAUGGAACUAACCCGGACUGACGUUGUUUUCAGCAGAAUUGCCAUGGUGUUAUUUUUGUGCAGAAAUAAAAGUUCUCGGAAUGACCUAAAAAUCAAAGGAGAAUUAUUUUGAAAUAUAUAAAAAAUAUUGGAAGGAAGAUCCACGUCAGGGGGGCCUCCACCUGUCCACGAGGGUGGAGAGCGUGCCCUACCCCCCUGGUGCUACCUCUUGAGCACUGCGUUGGUUUUCCCUUGAAGAGGAAAGGGUGAUGCAGUAAAGUAGUGUAAGUAUUUCCCUCAGUUUUUGAGAACCAAGGUAUCAAUCAAGUAGGAGAUCACGCUCGAGUCCCGCGCACCUACACAAACAAAUAAGAACCUCGCAACCAAUGCAAUAAAGGGGUUGUCAAUCCCUUCACGGUCACUUACGAGAGUGAGAUGUGAUAGAUAGGAUAAGAUAAUAUUUUUGGUAUUUUUAUGAUAAAGAGAAAUAAAGAUGCAAAGUAAAAUAAACAGCAAUAGAAAUAACUAAGUAUCACCUGGGCGCACCCCCCUGCCUCGUGGACCCCCUGACGCUCCACCGACCUCAACCCUGACUCCAUAUAUUCACUUUCGGGGAGAAAAAAACCAGAGAGAAAGAUUCAUCAUGUUUUACGAUAUGGAGCCGCCGCCAAGCCCUAAACUCUCUCGGGAGGGCUGAUCUGGAGUCUGUUCGGGGCUCCGGAGAGGGGAAUCCGUCGCCAUCGUCAUCAUCAACCUUCCUCCAUCACCAAUUUCAUGAUGCUCACCGCCGUGCGUGAGUAAUUCCAUCGUAGGCUUGCUGGACGGUGAUGGGUUGGAUGAGAUUUAUCAUGUAAUCAAGUUAGUUUUGUUAGGGUUUGAUCCCUAGUAUCCACUAUGUUCUGAGAUUGAUGUUGCUAUGACUUUGCUAUGCUUAAUGCUUGUCACUAGGGCCCGAGUGCCAUGAUUUCAGAUCUGAACCUAUUAUGUUUUCAUCAAUAUAUGAGUGUUCUUGAUCCUAUCUUGCAAGUCUAUAGUCACCUACUAUGUGUUAUGAUCCGGCAACCCCGAAGUGACAAUAAUCGGGACCACUCCUGGUGAUGAUCGUAGUUUGAGGAGUUCAUGUAUUCACUAUGUGUUAAUGCUUUGGUCUGGUACUCUAUUAAAAGGAGGCCUUAAUAUCCCUUAGUUUCCGCUAGGACCCUGCUGCCACGGGAGGGUAGGACAAAAGAUGUCAUGCAAGUUCUUUUCCAUAAGCACGUAUGACUAUAUUCGGAAUACAUGCCUACAUUACAUUGAUGAAUUGGAGCUAUUUCUGUGUCACCCUAGAUUAUGACUGUUACAUGAUGAACCGCAUCCGACAUAAUUCUCUAUCACCAAUCCAUUGCCUACGAGCUUUCCAUAUAUUGUUCUUUGCUUAUUUACUUUUCCGUUGCUAUUGCUAUCAUCACUAUAAAACAACAAAAACAUUACUUUUGCUAUCGUUACCUUUUGCUACCGUUACCACUACUAUCAUAUUACUUUGCUACUAAACACUUUGCUGGAGAUAUUAAGUUUCCUGGUGUGGUUGAAUUGACAACUCAGCUGCUAAUACUUGAGAGUAUUCUUUGGCUCCCCUUGUGUCGAAUCAAUAAAUUUGGGUUCAAUACUCUACCCUCGAAAACUGUUGCGAUCCCCUAUACUUGUGGGUUAUCAUUGCUCCUGCAGCGGGUCUUGCACCUAGCGGUGCUUCUAGGACGUAAUUCUUCUGUGUAGCAAUGAGGAUAAUUCUCAAGUUAUGGACCCAGUCCGUGUAGUUGCUACCAUCAUCUUUCAACUUAGCUUUCUCUACGAACGCAUUAAAAUUCAAAGGAACAGUAGCAGGGGCCAUUGAUCUACAAUAACAUAGACAUGCAAAAUACUAUUAGGUGCUAAGUUCAUGAUAAAUUAAAGUUCAAUUAAUCAUAUUACUUAAGAACUCCCACUUAGAUAGACAUCCCUCUAGUCAUCCAAAUGAUCACGUGAUCCAUAUCAACUAAACCAUGUCUGAUCAUCACGUGAGAUGGAGUAGUUUCAAUGGUGAACAUCACUAUGUUGAUCAUAUCUACUAUAUGAUUCACGCUCGACCUUUCGGUCUCAGUGUUCCGAGGCCAUAUCUGCAUAUGCUAGGCUCGUCAAGUUUAACCCGAGUAUUCUGCGUGUGCAAAACUGGCUUGCACCCGUUGUAUGUGAACGUAGAGCUUAUCACACCCGGUUAUCACGUGGUGUCUCGGCACGAUGAACUAUAGCAAUGGUGCAUACUCAGAGAGAACACUUGUACCUUGAAAUUUAGUGAGAGAUCAUCUUAUAAUGCUACCGCCGUACUAAGCAAAAUAAGAUGCAUAAAGGAUAAACAUCACAUGCAAUCAAAAUAAGUGAUAUGAUAUGGCCAUCAUCAUCUUGUGCCUUUGAUCUCCAUCUCCAAAGAACCGUUAUGAUCACCAUCAUCACCGGCUUGACACCUUGAUCUCCAUCGUAGCAUCGUUGUCAUCUCGCCAACUAUUGCUUCUACGACUACCGCUACCGCUUAGUGAUAAAGUAAAGCAAAAACAAGUGUGAUGUCCUCUACUUUGUUGUUGCAAGUUUUACGUGGCUGCUACGGGCUUCUAGCAAGAACCGUUCUUAUCUACGCCUCAAAACCACAACAAUUUUUCGUCAAGUGUGUUGUUUUAACCUUCAACAAGGAUCGGGCGUAGUCAAACUCGAUUCAACUAAAGUUGGAGAAAUAGACACCCACUAGCCACCCGUGUGUGAAGCACCUCGGUAGAACCAGUCUCAUGAACGCGGUCAUGUAAUGUCGGUCUGAGCCACUUCAUCCAACAAUACCGCCAAAUCAAAGUAAGACGUUGCUGGUAAGAAGUAUGACUAUUAUCGUCCACAACUCAUUGUGUUCUACUCAUGCAUAUAACAUCUACGCAUAGACCUGGCCCGGAUGUCACUGUUGGGAAACGUAUUAUUUCAAAAAAAAAUCCUACAAUCACGCAAGAUAUAUCUAGGAGAAGCAUAGCAAUGAGCGGGGAGAGUGUGUCCACGUACCCUCGUAGACCGAAAGCGGAAGCAUUUAGUAACACGGUUGAUGUAGUCGAACGUCUUUGCGAUCCAACCAAUCCAAACACCUAACGUACGGCACCUCCGCAUUCAGCACACGUUCAGCUCGAUGACAUCCCUCGAGCUCUUGAUCUAGUUGAGGCCGAGGGAUAGUUCCGUCAUCGCGAUGGCGUGGCGACGGUGAUGAUGAAGUUACCGGCGCAGGGCUUCGCCUAAGCACUACGACGAUAUGACCGAGGUGUGUAACUGUGGAGGGGGGCACCGCACACGGCUAAGAGAAACUUGUGUCUUUGGGGUGCCCCCUCCCACGUAUAUAAAUGGAGGGAGGAGGCCGGCCCAAGGGGGGGCGCCACAUGUGGGGAGUCCUACUAGGACUCCCUUGUCCUAGUAGGAUUCCCCUCUCCUUUCCUUUUACGGAGGGGGAAAGGGGGGAAGGAGAGGAGGGGAAGAGGGAAAGGGGGGCACGCCCCCUCCCCUUCCUAUUCGGACUCCACUUGGGGGGGACGCGCACGCCUCCCCCUUGUGGGUUGUCCCCUCUUCUCUCCCAUGGCCCAUAAGGCCCAUGAUUUCCCCCAGGGGGUUCCCGUAACCUCCCGGUACUCCGAAAAAAUUCCCGAAUCACUCGGAAUCAUUCCGAUGUUCAAAUGCAACCUUACAAUAUAUGAAUCUUUACCUCUCAACCAUUUUCGUGAUCUCAUCUGGGACUCCGAACAAACUUCAGUCAUCAAAUCACAUAACUCAUAAUACAAAUUGGCAUCGAACGUUAAGUGUGUGGACCCUACGGGUUUGAGAACUAUGUAGACAUGACCGAGACACAUCUCCGGUCAAUAACCAAUAGCGGAACCUAGAUGCUCAUAUUGGCUCCUACAUAUCUACGAAGAUCUUUAUCGGUCAAACCGCAUAACAACAUACGUUGUUCCCUUUGUCAUAUGUAUGUUAUUUGCCCGAGAUUCGCUCGUCGGUAUCCUCAUACCUAGUUCUAUCUCGUUACCGGCAAGUCUCUUUACUUGUUCCAUAAUGCAUCAUCUGGUAACUAACUCAUUAGUCACAUUGCUUGCAAGGCUUAUAGUGAUGUGCAUUACCGAGAGGGCCCAUAUAUACCUCUCUGAUACACGGAGUGACAAAUCCUAAUCUCGAUCUAUGCCAACUCAAGAAACACCAUCGGAGACACCUGUAGAGCAUCUUUAUAAUCACCCAGUUACGUUGUGAUGUUUGAUAGCACACUAAGUGUUCCUCCGGUAUUCGGGAAUUGCAUAAUCUCAUAGUCAUAGGAACAUGUAUAAGUCAUGAAGAAAGCAAUAGCAAUAAAAUUAAACGAUCAUUGUGCUAAGAUAACGGAUGGGUCUUGUCCAUCACAUCAUUCUCUAAUGAUGUGAUCCCGUUCAUCAAAUUACAACACAUGUCUAUGGUUAGGAAACUUAACCAUCUUUGAUUAACGAGCUAGUCUAGUAGAGGCAUACUAGGGACACUCUGUUUGUCUAUGUAUUCACACAUGUACUAAGUUUCCGGUUAAUACAAUUUUAGCAUGAAUAAUAAAGAUUUAUCAUGAUAUAAGGAAAUAUAAAUAACAACUUUAUUAUUGCCUCUAGGGCAUAUUUCCUUCAGGAAGAGCAUUGCGGGUGGGAGGGAGAAGGGGAAUUAAGAGAGUGUAGGUUUCGGUUUGGGCCUCCGCGCGCUAUGUGUACACAUGUGUUGGUGGGUCAAUAGUAGUGGCGCCAGGUUUAUACCCCACACUACUACUAUGGCCUAUCCCGGGGGUACGAUAGAGACCACUUAGUAGUAGCGAGGGAUUUAUACCCCUCGGUACUACUAUCAACUUAGUACUAGUGAGGGAUUUAUACCCCUUGCUACUACUAUCAACUUAGUAGUAGUGAGGGAUUUAUACCCCUCGAUACUACUAUGGCCAGUCCCGGGGGGCACGGUGGAGACCACUUAGUAGUAGUGUGGGGUUUAUACCGCUCGCUACUACUAUCAACUUAGUAGUAGCGUGGGUUCUAUACCCCUCUCUACUAAUAAUUAGCAGCAGUGUGGCCCAUAUACCCCUUGCUACUGUUAAGCAUCUAUCUAUAAAUUAUUUUCUAGUAGUGCAUCAAUGGCGGCGAAAUCAGUCAUUCUGCUUGUUUUCCCUACUAGCUCUCUGACGUCCAGAACAAGUUUACGGUCAUAAGGUGCAAUGCCCUUGCCUUCAUGAGUGACACGAUGACACGGGAACGGGCUUCCAAGCCUAUGGUGUCGCAUCGUGUCGUGGUCUGCUAAACUUAGUGGACGGAUGCUACUCCAAUAUCGGUUGAUCCUAUACUACGGUACCAAGGAAGACACGCAACUACUAUAUAUAUUUCUUCAAGUCAGUCAACACAAGUAAACUCUGGGAGUUCAACUGGUGCAGCUAUGCAAUGCUAAUGGAGACAACACAAUUCAACUUUAGCACUUCACACAUAAGAAAAACCACGUUCAAUGGCACACACCUUAGAGUGUACCUAUGGUGGUUGAAUGGGCUAUAAGAAAUGUGAGUCCAUGUGAAGAUGCCAAACAUAAUAACACGGCUAAUUACACAUGCAGUGGCAGCAGCAACAAGUGCGUGAAUUCAACAAAUGAUCUAGGGUACACAUGCAACGGUGUCCUUGAGUAUGACAACAACCCUUAUCUUCUAGACAAAUGCAUGGUAUGCUACUAAUUUAUUUGCUACAAAUUCCAAUGAAUUGUGUCCUUUGCUUUGUACAUACCCAAUUAUAAUAUUUUAUUAUGCUAAUACAAUGUAGCCUUCAAUUUAAACCAAGGUUUGCAUCCAUUAAUUAUGUUAGGUUCAUAUGACUUCACUACAUAAAUAGGUAGAUAAUGCAUAAGACUGAGAUUGUAGCUAGGGAUGAAAAUCUAAAUACGGCAUGAAUCUAACAAUUAUGAGUAAUGUCUUUGUGACAAGAACUUUCUUUGUCUUUUAUUCCCAUGUUUGAACUAGUAUAGGUCAGGGUUACACAUUAUGGUGCACAUCACUUUAUUUGUCACCGUUACAUUGAACACCCAUUGACUAAACAACGAUAAUCCAUCCGUCUUGUAUUACAGGUCUUCAUUUCAUUGGCCACCGAUGCUUGUAAGACUACUCCCAGAUGGUUGUUGUUGUGGAUAUGGUUGUUGAGGUUGGUGUGGUUGCUGGGGGAAUGGUUGUUGGGGUUGCUGGGAAAUUGUUUGUUCUAGUUGCUGGGAUAAUUGUUGUUGGGGCUGCAAAAAUGGUUGUUGUGGUUGCAGGAUGGAUGGUUGCUGGGGUUGGGGCUGGGGAAAUGAUUGUUGUGAUUGUUGGGGUUGCUGGGAAAAUGGUUGUUGCGGUUGAAGGGGGAAUGGUUGUUGUGGUUAUAGAGGGAAAGGUUGUUGUGGUUGUUGAGGGAAUGGUUGUUGUGGUUGUUGNNNNNNNNNNNNNNNNNNNNNNNNNNNNNNNNNNNNNNNNNNNNNNNNNNNNNNNNNNNNNNNNNNNNNNNNNNNNNNNNNNNNNNNNNNNNNNNNNNNNNNNNNNNNNNNNNNNNNNNNNNNNNNNNNNNNNNNNNNNNNNNNNNNNNNNNNNNNNNNNNNNNNNNNNNNNNNNNNNNNNNNNNNNNNNNNNNNNNNNNNNNNNNNNNNNNNNNNNNNNNNNNNNNNNNNNNNNNNNNNNNNNNNNNNNNNNNNNNNNNNNNNNNNNNNNNNNNNNNNNNNNNNNNNNNNNNNNNNNNNNNNNNNNNNNNNNNNNNNNNNNNNNNNNNNNNNNNNNNNNNNNNNNNNNNNNNGAAUGGUUGGUGGGGAAUUAUUUGUUCUGGUUGCUGGGGAAUUAUUUGUUCUGGUUGCUGGGGGAAUGGUAGUUGGGGUUGGGGAAAUGGUUGUUGGGGUUGCUGGGGGAAUGGCUGUUGUGGUUGCAGAGGGAACGAUUGUUGGGUCUGGGGAAAUGGUUGUUGUGGUUGCCAGGAAAAUGGUUGUUGGGGCUGUGGAAAAGGUUGUUGUGGUUGUUGGGGUUGCUGGGGGAAUGGUUGUUGUGGUUGUAAGGGGGUCGGUUGUUGGGGUUGGGGAUAUAAUUGUUGUGAUUGCUGGAGAAAUUGUUGUUGGGGUGUGGAAAAUGGUUGUUGUGAUGGAUAUGGUUGCUAUGAUGGAUAUGGUUGUUGUGGAUAUGGCUGUUGUGGAAAUGGUUGUUGUUGAUGGGAAAAUGAUUGUUGAGGUGAUUGUAACUCUUUGUUGCUAGGGUUUAGCUGCCUAGCGGCAAUGGCGGUGUUCAUCGCCAUGGCAAGGAGGACAAAGAUGAGGAAGGUCUUCAUGUUGGAUUUGUGGUUACUACUGCUUGCUUGCCUUUGAUGCUUGUGGUCUAGGUGUGUGAAGUUUGGUUGAUGGAAGGUGUCCUUGGUGGUGCAUGUGUAUUUAUAGUUUUCAUGGCAUGGCUUGCUUUCAUCUUUGCACUCGCUCUUUGAAAAAGUGCAUCAAUGCUUAUCCAACUAAUCAUUUGGUUUGUUGUGUUUGGUGCAACUACUUACU
Molecule: long non-coding RNA, 75790 nt
Filed under: Triticum aestivum (bread wheat)
Lineage: Eukaryota; Viridiplantae; Streptophyta; Magnoliopsida; Poales; Poaceae
Description: long non-coding RNA (TAES_LNC024411)
Source: RNAcentral